UUUUUUUCUUUUUUCUUUUUUGUUUGUUUGUUUGUUUUACUUUUAAUAACAUGCUAUUAUAAUCAUCAAAAUAUUAUGCAUGCCCUUCCCUUGAAUCGCUCACCCCAAGUCCCAACACGUUUUCCAUAAAACACUAAUUUAAAUUAAAUUCUAACUUCAUCAUCAACCAAGUGAUAUAUAUUUUAAAUUUAUGUUUAAUAAUUAUAAUAAAUUUAUUUAAUUUGAUAUAUUUUGUACAUCUCAUUUUAACGGUUGCCUUAACUCCUUUUUUUUUUGGUUAAUUAACUUUGAUUAAUCACCAACUGAAAUAUUUACAAAGCAAAGAGUUUCUAGUGUCUUUGGCCGUUCCUUACCACUGAAUCAUCAAUCAGUUUUAUUAAAUGGUUUAAUGUUAUUGGUUUGUCCAAACCUCUUGUUAGCUCCGCCCCCCGCCUACCGGAACCAAGAAAGCUAAACUCAGCUAUACUCUACAUAUACUAAGAUGUUUGGUCACGAAUUAUUUUCAUUUUUUCCUCAACUCCGAAAGACAUAUUUAAUCUUAAAAUUUUGAAAUUUAACUUCAAGUUAAAUUUUAAAACUUUCAAAAAAUUAAAAAAUAAAUUAUUCAAAAUAAACUCUAAUUUUUAAUAUUAUUUUUUACUUUAAAAAUAUUUUUUUUUUUCAAAUUUCACAAUUAAAAAGCAACUCAGCAAUCAAAGGCAAACUCGAUGGCAAAUAUGAUUUGAAUAUUCCAGUCAGCAUUUUGUCAACCAACUUAAGCCAUAUUUCACAGUCAUGUUACGUAUAUUCAUAAGCCAAUUUUGGAUUUAAAGACUUUAAGGUGUAUUAAUAUUACUUUUCAGCUACUUAAAAUAAAAAUGUUGAAAAAAGCUUUAGCUAGAUUCAAAACGUGAUCUCAUGAAUAAUUCCUUCAGGUUGUAUGAAUAACACAAGAACACUUACGUACUUUUUUUUGAAUGUAUGGUUAAUUAUAUUCUAAUUUCUCUCAAUUUUUUAAAAUAUAUACAUAAUUUUUUUUAGAAAUUAACAGUUGCACGUACACCUCCGGUAUGAAUCCGCCUCUCCGUAUACUCUCAUUUACACUUUUUAACAAUACCAUGAAUCUGCCCCCUGUUUCUUCAUAAUCCAAACACUAUAUAAAUCUUCUCAACUCCCUCCAUUUUUCUUACUCACAAAACAAAACAAUUUCUUCAUAAUCGUCUCUCCACGAGAAUUCUGAUUUAUAAAUAAUGGACUUCAAAAUCGGUGCAAUCGACACUUGCAAGCCCAUAAAUGGCGACAUAGCAAAUGUACCAACCAAUAAAGCCGUUACAAUCCAAAACUCCACCAUUCCAUUCAAUUCCCCUGACUCAACACUCGGCCGUCACCUCGCCCGCCGUUUAGUCCAAAUCGGAGUAACCGACGUUUUCUCCGUUCCCGGUGAUUUCAAUUUGACACUUCUCGAUCAUCUCAUUGCUGAACCUGAACUUAACCUUAUAGGUUGUUGUAAUGAGCUAAAUGCCGGUUAUGCAGCUGAUGGAUAUGCUAGGGCACGGGGAAUUGGGGCUUGUGUUGUUACCUUCACCGUCGGUGGAUUAAGUAUUGUUAAUGCAAUUGCUGGUGCUUAUAGUGAAAAUUUACCUUUGAUUUGUAUUGUUGGUGGACCUAAUUCGAAUGAUUAUGGAACUAAUAGAAUCCUUCAUCAUACUAUUGGGUUACAUGAUUUUAGUCAGGAGCUUCGUUGUUUUCAAACUGUUACUUGCUAUCAGGUAGGUUCAUCAAUUUUACUACUCCGAUGGCCUAAUUUAUGUGGCACUGUUGAAAUUUCGAGAUUUAAAUCGUAUGAACCUGUUGUUUGAUUUUGGAGUAUUUUUUUUGUGGGUUUUGCAGGCUGUGUUGAAUAAUUUAGACGAUGCUCAUGAGCUGAUUGAUACUGCAAUUUCCACAUCUUUGAAAGAGAGUAAGCCGGUUUAUAUUAGUGUAGGAUGUAAUUUGCCCGGGAUUCCACACCCUACGUUCAGUCGUGAGCCAGUUCCAUUUUCCCUCUCUCCAAGGUAAAAUAUUAUUUUCUACGUCUAUUCGGAGAAACUAUUUACGUCAAGUAGCUCAUGUUUUGAGCUUGUUACACUUUUAUAUACUCCAGACAUAAUGUUGUAAUAAUAUUGUAUAUUGGACACACAUAUUUUGAAAAUGUUCCCUAAAAUAUAUUCUUUGACCUUUGUUUAUAUUUUUUUAAAAAAAAUUCUGUUCUGAUUGUAGACUCUGUUUUCAUGAUGAAGUCGUUUAUAUGAGUUCGGUCCAAUCUAAUAAUUUUUGUUCAAAUAAGUUUAUUAAAAUAUCAAAAACUUUUAAGUUCAGAAACUAGUUAUUAACACUUGAAAUCGUCCUAUAAAAUUCAUCAGAAUCGUAAGGUUAAAAUUCUGGCUUCGCCUUUGUGUUUAAGUAUCCGAGUUUCUUUUUUUUUUUUUUUUUUUUUUUUUUUUUUUUUUUUUUUUUUUUUUUUUUUUUUUUUUUUUUUUUUUUUUUUUUUUUUGUGGUAUAGAUUAAGUAAUAUGAUAGGCUUGGAAGCAGCAGUGGAAGCAGCGGCUGAGUUCUUGAACAAAGCAGUAAAGCCAGUGCUUGUUGGAGGGCAAAAUAUGCGCGUUGCAAAGGCAUGUGAUGCUUUUGUUGAGCUGGCUGACAGCUGUGGUUAUGCGGUGGCAGUGAUGCCAGCCGCUAAAGGUUUGGUUCCGGAACACCAUCCACAUUUCUUAGGAACUUACUGGGGUGCAGUGAGCACGACCUUCUGUGCUGAAAUUGUUGAAUCUGCUGAUGCGUACUUGUUUGCUGGACCAAUUUUUAACGACUAUAGUUCUGUUGGUUAUUCUCUUCUUCUCAAGAAAGAGAAAGCGAUCAUUGUCCAGCCUGAUCGUGUGACAAUUGGGAACGGACCUGCAUUUGGUUGUGUUCUGAUGAGGGAUUUCCUUUCCGCAUUAGCAAAGAGAUUAAAGCAUAAUCCAACUUCUUAUGAGAAUUAUCAUAGGAUUUAUGUUCCUGAUGGACUUCCUCUCAAAUGUGAGCCUAAGGAGGCAUUAAGGGUUAACGUUCUAUUUCAGCACAUUCAGAAUAUGUUGACUGGUGAGAGUGCUGUGAUUGCUGAGACGGGGGACUCGUGGUUCAACUGUCAGAAGCUGAAAUUGCCACAAGGAUGUGGGUGAGAACAGAACAAAUUAAAUCUACGCAAAUUGCUGUCAUUUUGGUAUUUAUUUCCAUCAUCAUAACAAGUUUUGUUCUUCUUGAUUGUCGUUUUUAGGUAUGAGUUCCAAAUGCAGUAUGGAUCUAUUGGUUGGUCUGUUGGUGCAACUCUUGGUUAUGCACAAGCUGCACCAGAAAAACGGGUGAUUGCCUGCAUCGGUGAUGGUAGCUUUCAGGUAAUUGAAAAUAGAGGAGAAUGAAUUGUUGGCGUUCUCCGGUGUGUCUAAUCCAACUUUAUGGCAAAUGAAAUGUACUUGCAGGUGACUGCUCAAGAUAUUUCAACAAUGCUAAGGUGUGGGCAGAGGACCAUUAUCUUCUUGAUAAACAACGGUGGUUAUACAAUUGAAGUUGAGAUCCAUGAUGGACCUUACAAUGUGAUCAAGAAUUGGAACUACACAGGAUUAGUCGAUGCAAUCCAUAACGGAGAAGGAAAAUGUUGGACAACUAAGGUGAGUGGAAGUUCAAAUUUUCAAUCAUCGCCUUUGUUUUUUACUCUGAACCUUGAAUGAAAGGAUUUAAAUAUAUUGAACGUCUCGAUUGUAUGUAGGUUUAUUGUGAAGAGGAGUUGGUGGAAGCAAUUGAAACAGCAAAUGGAGCAAAGAAAGAUUGUUUGUGUUUCAUUGAAGUGAUUGUCCACAAAGAUGACACUAGCAAAGAGCUGCUUGAAUGGGGUUCUAGGGUCUCAGCAGCUAAUAGUCGUCCACCAAAUCCACAGUAAAAUCUCUACUUGUUCAAAGUUACUGCAAAAUAUUCUUGCAAUUUGGGAGUUGCCACUAUAUGCUGUAAUAUUUUUUUCCCAGUGAGGGGUUGUAUUCCACUAACAUGGAUGGUUGGUGUUGUAUUGUUAUUUUAAAUACGAUGUUUAUUUUCAUUAUUACUUAAAUUCUAUUGUAUCGUAUCGUUUAAAUUCAUCAUUAGGUAACGAUCAACUUGGUGUGAUCGUGUCGUUACCUUAAUAUUUUCCUCUCCUUUUGUCUUUAUUUAUUAUUUAAUAAUUAUAUUUUAUCUUUUAUCCUACAUUUUCAUAAUAGCUCUACCUUGCACCUCGUUUUUCUUGUAGGUUUAUCAUUCAAAUUGUGGAUGUGUGACAUUAUGUAAUGGUGGAAAACGAUACAAUUUAUCCAAAUAUUGUAUUCAUUUAAACAAUAUAAUACGAUACAACAAUAUACAAUACAUUAUGAAACAAUACAUAACAACCAUUCACUCAUACCAUUUUAUGCCUUAGCAUAAAUUAUUUAAUUUUUGAAAUUUUGGGACUGAUUUUCAUUUUUUGGAAUUUUUUUUAAUACGGGUGAAUUUUUUAAAAUCUACUGAUGAUUUUAGAAUUUUAGUUUUUUUUUUUCAAAAAAAAGAAAUUAAUGAUGAAGCUGAAAUUUGAGUUGAUUUCGUGAAGAAUGGAAGAUGUUGAAAAUUUGGGAGUUGUUUAUGUUCUUAAAAAAAGAAGCAAAAAGUGUACAUUUGAUCCAAAAACUCCAAUUGAAAAGUGUUAAACCUUGUUUGGGUGUAAAAAAUGGUUUAGCAAAACUGUAGUUAAAAAAAGGCAUGAAUGAACCUUUUCUUUAACAAUAAUGACAUAUAUGAGCCAAACUUUUAACAGAUGACAUAAAUAAGUUUUUUCUAAAAGUUUGAUGACAUAUUUGAUUUUUUUUCCCUUAAAAAAAUAUAAUACUAUUAUAUAUGAUUUUAGGAGGAAAACAUGGGUUCACGUGAACCCGGUGACCUCUUCUCGGAUACGUUGGCCUUUUGUCGACAAGCAAGAAUCUUGAAUAUUCUGUUCUCCAUGUUAGGGUGGGGGCUGCUAAUGGACUAGUAGAAGCCAACUAAACGAGGACACAUGUCAUAUUAAGGGUGCAUGUAAGACACGCGUAAGUCUUAGAGAAGAAAAUACCUUGACCUACAAGUCUAAAACCAUGAGGAGGUGUAGAUAUUUACUUUUUUUGCUGCCUCAACACUGCCACAAUUUAAUAUUUAAAAAUUAUAAGAAAUUAUUACACUUGUCAUAUAAAUAUGAUUAAUAUAUUAUCUAAAAAUGUUGAUCAGAGAUUCAUAUAAUUUGACUUUAUAAAAGAAGUAUUUUCUCGGUUCAUUUUUAAUUGUCACUGUUUAACUUGAUACAUUUAUUAAGAAAAUAAUUAUUGCUAUAGAUAUUUUAUCAAGCUAUCCUAUUAAAUGAUGUUUAGUACUUCUUCUGUCUCUAAUUACUUGUCUAAUUUUCUUUUUUUAGUUGUCUCUUUUUAUUUGUUCAUUUUGAUAAAUCAAGAAAAGACAAUUUUUUUUUACUUAUUAUAUCCUCAAUUAAUUAAUUUUGAAAAAACUACAACUUCUUGAAAAUUUUAAAUUAUUAAUUCAUCUACUUCAUAAUUAAUAAGGAUAAAAUGAUAAGCUCAUUAUGUCAAUCAUUAUUUUUUUAAUAGGUGUGUCAAUUCAAAAGUGGACAAAUAAUUGGGGACAGAGGGAGUACUACAUCUUAGAGAAUGAUUUGGAGAACAAAUAUUUAAUGCCGUGGGUAAAACAUGAAAAAAAAUAAUUAUUUUAUUUUUUCUUGAUAUGUCAAAAGUGAUAGCUUACGUAAUUUUAUGUCGGUUAAUAGUAGCUCCCACAGUCAGACUCCUCAGUGCAUUUAACCUGAUUUUCAGUUAUACAACAAUAUUCAGUCUCAGCAUGUUAUGUUAGAAAUCAGUACUUGGUUAUUGCAUUCAGUUCAAUUCAUUUCAGUAUAAUUCAAUAUUAUUGUUAUAAUUCAGAUUAUGUCAUUGCUUAGUUAUAUUUUCUUUAGCUUAUAUGUUUGUUCAAUAUUCUAUAUCCUGCAUGCUCAGUACAUUCCAAGUACUGACGCAUACUCUGCGCUACAUCCUUUCAUGAUGUAGGUUCAUGUCCUCAACAUUCAGAUCAUGCGUAGAUCGAUUUCCGAUCUAUACUCAGCAGCAUCAGUGGUGAGUCCUCAUACUUCGAGGACAAUAGACAUGUUUUCUAUUUCAGUCUUUCAUUUCGGUUUCAGUUUUGUUCCCCAGCUAACCCUAGUCAGUAGAGGCCUUUUCAGACAUAGUUUUAGAGUCAGCUUUAGCAUUUGAGUUAUUGUUCAGUAUCGCUAUCAGGGGUGGACCUAAGUGGAGCCUAGGGGGUUCACCCGAACCCCUCGUCGAAAAAUUACACUAUAUAUAUAAGGUAGACUUCUGAUUGUAAGCGUAUAGAUAGUAAAAUGAACCCCUUCAACAACCAAAAGAGGAGCGUGGCUCACUGGGAAGGAGGUUCAUUGCUAAAAUGCAUGUUUUGGGCUUAGAAUACCCAAUAAAAUGCCUCAUUAUUUUUGGAUUCAAUCUAAAAGUAUAUUAUUUUUAACUUUUCUUUUUAUGUUUUAUCUUUUUCUCAAUUUAUCUUUGUUUAAAUUUAUUAGCCACAUUUUUUAUAUUUUUGUCUUUUAUUCUUCUUAUUUAUAUUGCUCAUUUUAUUUCUACAUAACUCUCUUCUCAUGUACUAACUUAAAGAAACUCUUUGAGAAAAUGAUGAAUUGUUAUUAAAUUCAAAAUUGAAUUAGAAUACUAUUAAAUAAAAUAAAGUAAUUAAGAUUAAUUGAAUGAAAAACUUUAAAAGUUGUGAAUAUUCUUUUAAUAAAAUCUAUUUAAUUGAAUUCUUUCUUAAUGUUAUUGUAUCUUUUUAUAUUUUUGUCUUUUAUUCUUCUUAUUUAUAUUGCUCAUUUUAUUUCUACAUAACUCUCUUCUCAUGUACUAACUUAAAGAAACUCUUUGAGAAAAUGAUGAAUUGUUAUUAAAUUUAAAAUUGAAUUAGAAAAUUAUUAUAUAAAAUAAAGUAAAUUAAGAUUAAUCGAAUGGAAAAUUUUAAAAGUUGUGAAUAUUCUUUUAAUAAAAUUUAUUUAAUUGAAUUUUUUCUUAAUUUCACUGUAUCUCUUUCUUACUAUUUUCAAGUCGAUUCUAAAGAGAUUAAAACUAAACUAAACUUAUUUGAUUGGUUCAUAAUUUUUUUUAACAAAUGAUUAACCUAGUAAAUUGAAUUAAAUGAACUAAAAAAAAUCGAUGAUGUUAUUUAUUUAUCUUCAGAAUAUGCACUAUAGUAUUAGUAACUCGAUCUUUACACAUUUCUAAGGAAUCUUGAUGGUUUUUAAAGUAACAUAUGAUUAAAUGUGCACUAAUUCAAAAUUUAGAAAAAAAAUCUAAAAAGUAGAAUACUGCAAAAUAAAAGGAAAGGCACUAGAAAUUUUAAAAGCUCGAUGGACCAGGGUAAAAGUAAGAAGAACCUAAACAUAACAUAACAAUAUAAGUUAAAUUUAGCAAAUUAAAAUUAAAAUUUUCCUCCCAUGUCACUCGGUUUUACAUCUUGUAACUUUUACGUGUUUACUUCUUUGUACUUCGAACCCCCUCAACAAAAAUUCUGGAUCUGCCACUGAUCGCUGUACUCUUAUUCUGUAUUUAUAUAUUCAGACCAGUUUUGGGUAUUCCCCACUAUUAGUUGUAAAUUGAUUUAGCUUCCACAUUAGUUCGUGUUUUCAUAGAUAUAUUCAGUUUACUUAUGAUAUGCCAGCUCAGGAUUAGCUUGGGUUCACUCGUGAUCCUAGGUCCCGUGUUUACUUCAAGGAGAUAGCCUCGAGACGUGACAUGUGGAGUCUCCGAUGAUGGAGAUGCACAGUUUCCAGAAUCUAGUCAUUAACAACGACAACAUUGUUGGUCACAGUAACUUCAAGAUGAUAUUUGUAAAUUUUGACUUCAUAAAUUUUAGCUAUUUCUUGAAAAAAAAGAGUAUUUUUUGUAAAAUAAUUCAUUCAUGAAUUGACGGAUAUAUAUAACAAUUUAGAGACUUCAAACGAACUUCUCCAAAAGCUUCCUAAUUUUUUUUCCCUUAAACCGCGUUGCCAAGAUAUUAAUGAAAAGUUACCUAAAAUGUUAUAUUUACACGGGAUUAAUAUUUUAACUUAAUUUUGGAUAUGCAUUUAUAUUUUAAAAAAAUUAAACACUUUAUGUCAUAUAUACUAUUAAAAUGUUAUAUUUACACCCUCUAUGAGAAUAUAUCCCUAACUAAAUAUAUUAAAAGAUAAAAUUAUAAUUACAAAUAAAAUAUUCUUACAUAUUUAUUUAUUGUGAAAUAGGUAAAACAAAAAUAUAUCCAUGUCAUUGAUUAGCCAUUUAGUAGAAACUAUCUAAUUAUACAAACAAUUCUUCAUAUAGUUUGAAAUAAUUACAUUUUAUAUCAAUAGUUACUAAUUUCAUAUCAGAUUUCAAAUCAAAUACAACUAGAUACAUGCAUUUUGCUACCAUAUACACUGAAAUAGGGAGAGAGGCAAGCUAGAACAAAAGAGGAGGUGAGCAAGAUAUGCUUAUGUAUAUCAGAUAUAUGCGAAUCACACUAAAUACAUGUAUCUGAGAUGCCAGAAUCAUAGGAGAAUGACGAGCGAGAUUUAUCUAAGUAUCUCAAAUAUAUGUGAAUCCACUUAGAUACAAUGAAUAUAGAAUAAAUUACAUCUAAUUUUGCCCUCAUGUAUCCUGUAAUAUAUGUAUCUGAGUUCUAUUUUUUAAUUAAUAAGUAAAUUAAAAAAUGUUGAAACAAGAAUUCUAUGAGUCACUACCCUUAUUAGUAUAAAUAUAUAUUUGUCAUGCUUCUUUUCCUUCCACAGAUUCCUUAUUUACAUCUCAAUUUUUUUUAGUUAUUAUUGAAGAUUAUGUUUGUGCUUAUGAGUUUGAUGUUAUAUUUUUUUAUGCUUUCUAACAAUUAUUAUACAAUCAAUUCUUUUUACUAUUUUACUUUUUGCAUAUUCAUGUUUGAAUCGAAGAAAAAUUCAUGACUUUUGAUCGUAUUUGAGUUGAUCAAUGACGAUAUUCAACAUAUGUAUCAGUUUAUUUUUUAUUUUUUGUGCAUAAUAGAUAUAUAUACAAAGAAAGUCGAAUAAUAUACGUACCAUUUAAAUUUAUUAUUUGCAAUAUAAACAUUGUAUCAAGUACUUUGAGAUAAACAUGCAACGCUCUCCCAGAAACUAGUAAAUAUAAAAUGUUAUAAAGCAUUUUAAAAUAACACUCAUUCAUUAAAAGUAAGAAAAACGAAAAGGUAGGAUUUUAUAGAACUGAAAUUGUGAUGGGCUUGAAAAAUAAUUGGAAAAUGCGAUUUUUAAUAUGAGAAUUUUGAAUUCCAUGGCCAUCUCCAUGGUGGUAAAUGGAGUGACUAGCUCUUGCAGAAUUUACUGCACACAUCCAAUGAAUGUUUUAGAAAAUAAUGAAUUAUCCCCUUGAGCUGUACUAUUGAUCAAUUUCCAUGUCUCUUUUAUCAUGAAAUUGAUGUGUUUUCUUGCAUCUUCUUCAAAACCACCCUUCUCAUUCAUGUAACAUUGAAUCGACUUAGGAACGUCACCUCUUUUCAUUUCAUCCUGAAGUAAUUAAGAUCAGGAACAUAAUCAUCUCAAAUAUACUCUAACUAAUGUUAAUUAUAACUUUCAAUAACAAAUCAAUAUAUAAGCAUGCGUACUGAGGAUGUCCCCAAAUCAUCGUUUAAACGAAUAAUAGUAGCAGACCAUCGAAUAAUAUCAGAACAAUUGGUUAAGGAAUCCAAGACCUCUUUGGUAAUUGGAUUUGUGACAAGGAACAAUGAGUGGACUAAUAUCAUAGGGGCUGCAAUAGUGAUUAAUCCACUAUCCAUGUAUUCUUCUAGACUUGGCUUAUAUCCACAGUAGUACCAUCUUGCUUCUCGUAAGUACGAUUUACACAAAUCUGCCCACUAAUUUAAUAGAAAAAUAUCUCAAAUAUUUAGAAAUGGGAAAAGGGUAAAAAAAUGCCCUUAAACUAUGUGAAAGGAACAAAAAUGUCCCCCGUUUAUAGUUUGGUUCAAAAAUGCCAUUGCAGUCGAUACUUUGGUCCAGAAAUGCCCCUAUAGUUACAAAAUGAGUCAAAAAUGUCAUUUUCCGAAUAAAUGUAUUACUUUUUUCUUUUUAAACACAUAUUCUUCCUGAUUAAAAUACUAUUAAAGAACACUAUUCUUGUCUUUUUUCUUCUAAAAUCACUUUAACAAAUAAAAAUGUAGGAAAUAUGUUUUUUCUUCUUAAUCUCUUUUUAUCAAUUAAAAUAGAAUAACUUCAUGUACCCUUUCAAUAGAUAAUAUAUGUCAUAUAUAUAAGAUCAUAGUAUAUCCAUCAUUAAUUUAUAUUUAUAUAACGAUAAAAAAAUAAUGAUAAUAAAAUAAGAAAUAUUUUCAUUUUUUAUUUUUUUCUGAAUUGAAGUAAGAUAAAAAUUUGCUAAUUCAAAAAAACAUUAUUAGAAAAAGAAUAUGUUUAAAAGAAAAUAAUAAUAUAUUUAUUUGGAAAAUGAGCAUUUUUGACCCAUUAAAUAACAAUAAGGGGAUUUUUAGAUCAAAGUAUUGACGACAAGGGCAUUUUUGGACCAAACGACAAACGGAGGGCAUUUUUGUUCCUUUCGCAUAGUUUAAGGGCAUUUUUGAACCAAAAUAUUGACGGUAAGGACAUUUUUUAACAAAACUAUAAACGGAGGGCAUUUUUGUUUCUUUCACAUAGUUUAAGGACAUUUAUAAUCCUUUUCCCUUUAGAAAUUAAAACAGGGGAAUCCAAAUAUAUAUAUAGAGAGAGCUAAGUAUUUUUACUGAUUUUGUAAGGUAGGGCAUGGCGUUGAUCCCUUGUUCUUUGAGAACUUCGUAUGCAAUUUCAGUGGUUGUGUUGAAGAGUGCAAGGUAACAUAUUUUCAUAUAAUCUGGAAGUUCGUUCAUUGCUUUUAUCUCCAUUCUGAAUGUAAUCAGAAAACUUUUUAGCAAUUCAUGUAUUGUUUAUAAGAGAAAAAUCUAAUUUGUAAAGGUUAGAAUUAAGUUACAGACCUUUCAACAGCAUGAGUGAAGAGUUCCAACUCAUCAAGAGUGCUGUAAACAUCAUACAUGUCAUCUAUAACUGUUGCCAUAGCAGUGACCUUUGUCAACAUUAUUCGACAGUAUUCGUUCUUUUGAGGUUCAAACAUCAUGCCAGCUAUCCAUAAGAAAGCCUCCACAAGUCUAUCCCUUGAAAAUGGCAAUUUUUCUGCAAGCAAUGACUUCUUCCACCACCUUAAUUUCAUGAAAAAUAAUGUUUCAGAUGUAGGAAACUUAUUGAUUGAUGCCUCAGAUCUCGAUUACUAAGCGUAUGGACAUGAAUUAUGGUGAUAUAUAUUUCUAAUAAUCUGAUACUCUGUGAUUUUCCCUAAGAGUUGCUACCUUUUUUUACUCACCUCGAUAGAUUUCUUAGAUCUUGUUGGUGUGUUGCUUGAACAAUGUUGAAAUCCAACUUAGCAAACUCGAGCAGGAGAGGAUCAACAUUUGGGAUUUUCUCAUAAAUUUUAAUGUACCACCUUGUCUCUACUCUCAACAUCUUGCAAUGCAAAGGAAGUUCCAGAGCAUGACGCACUAGUUCCACUGUCCCAUUCUCUUGAUGUUCAGUAUCAUUUAAAUUGUGCAAAUAGUUUUUUAGAUGGGACACUGUGAAUAUAUUGGCUGACUCCAAUAAAGUAGAGGUUUCAGAAUCCGUAGACAGAAAUGAAGCUUCAUAUAAUUGUAACAACCCUUUUGUAUCUUCACAAAGACUUUGUUUGAAGUUACCCUGCUCAUCUUUGAAAUCAUUCAAUAUAUCUACGGGGAAAAAAUGAGUAGAAAUCUUAUUGGUCGGAACAUAUAUAUAAAAAUGACAAAACGAAGAAAUUAGGAAAAAAAUAGAGAGCACCUUGAGAGAUAUGAAAACCAUGUUGUCUGAAGAGCCUAAACUUCAAUGCUGUAGAGUAUAAUGAAUUAUCUCCUGUGGUUGUACUACUAUUUUGGUUAUGUACACUUCUCAAUACUUCCAUAAUUUCAUCCUUAAAGUGGUAACUUACUCCUAGCCUUUGUAAAUUAUCAAUCAACUCCAACUUAGCAUCUAAUUGAUCUUGUAUUGAUCCCUCAACCAUAACCAUCAAAUUCUUUUUCAUUUCCUUCUUUAGUUCGUUACAACGCUUCAUAUACUUAUCUCCCUACACAACACACAUUUACAAAUUAUAUUUUGAAUGAUAGAAUAACGCACACGAAUAAUAUGAUAUAAAGAAAAUGUAGGUAUGUACCGCGUAAGGAUUGUAUAGGGUGUGAAUAAAUUGAAAAUCCCAGAUGGGAGGCUGGUAAUUCCCUGAACGCCUAAUGGGAUUAGAUGAAUGAUUAAGAAGUCGUGGUUCAGCUUUCAUGCCAGUGCCACCGUCACCGUCACCGUCACCGGUGGUUGAAAGGGAGGCUAGUGAUGAUGAUGGGAUGAAUAAAGAGGAAAAUUUAGGUAGAGAUUUUCUUGAGAUGGCCAUAGGUAUUAGCCUCCCCAAGUUGGCCAUCAAUAUUGCCACCAUUUUGUUGGUUUAUUCACUUUAAUGUGUGGACAGAUUAAUUUUUCUGAGCUCCAACAAGUAACUAUAAAUGGAUCAUUCCUCCCCAGAGUUGCUUGUCACACUACAUCAAAAAUGAUCUUUAGUGACAAUUAAUUAACGGUAAUAACUGAAUUAAAUUACCGCUAAAGAUGUAUUUUUAGUGGCAAUUAACACUCUUUGUAUAUGUCCCUGAAACUUUUAGCGACAUUAGAUCUAAUGGCACAUAACUAAUGCCAGUAAAACUUUAGCACUCUUUUUUUUUGGUUGUAGAGUCAGCAGCCUAUUGGAGGUAGAUAUGGUAAAAUGUUACUAAAUGCAGGGCUUAAUACAUAACUAACCCCUUAAAUUUGUCACAAUAUUUCAUUAAGACAAUCAAACUAAGUUAUUUUAAAAAAAAAUCAUCCACAUAGGCUUUCACAUCCAUGGUGAUGACGGAUUUGGCAUAGAUCCCUACCAUGCUAAUUAUAUAGACAAAACUACAAUGGAGGGGAACAAGAGCCAAUACUUCUAUGAGCAUUUCAAUUGAACAUUUCAACAGCUAAUUAUAAAAUAUUCUAAUUUGACAUUUUCAAUUCAAAUUUUAAAUAUUUUAGACGUUACUGAAUAUUGCCACCAUUUUAUUAAUUAUGUGCUUCCAUGCGUUUGUAAGUACGAGGGAUGAUUUUGGAUAUUUAAUUUGGCUUAUAAUGUAUCAUUUUUUUUAAUGUGUAAUGGGAGUAGAUGAUGGUCCAUCUAAUGCUUAGAUAAUUCAUUCAUUAGGGACCAUGUCAUCAUAAAAAACAAUGACUAAGUUAGAUCUUCAAGUUUGAAACUAUAAUGGAAAUAAAAAUCAUAUUAUUGAAGUUUCUUUUGACAUAAUUCAUCUUCAAGAUUUGUUCCACAAGAAUAUAGGUUUGGUUUUCUUAGAAAAUGUUAGUGUUAGGCAUUUGAUUUUUGAGAAUUAGAAAACACAAAUAUAGGGUGUGUUUGGUAUGAAGGAAAACAUUUUCCGGUUUUCUCAUGUUUGGUGGGGUUAAAUGUUUUGGAAAAUGUUUUACAAAUCAACUCAUUUUCCUCAAAUUUAAGGAAAAUGACUUCCCUUCAAAACUUAAGGAAAACAUUUUCCAAAACUAUUUUCCAAUUUCAAAUUACAAUUAUUUUGUCUCUACCCUCUAACCACCCCCACUCCCCCCCCCCCNNNNNNNNNNNNNNNNNNNNNNNNNNNNNNNNNNNNNNNNNNNNNNNNNNNNNNNNNNNNNNNNNNNNNNNNNNNNNNNNNNNNNNNNNNNNNNNNNNNNNNNNNNNNNNNNNNNNNNNNNNNNNNNNNNNNNNNNNNNNNNNNNNNNNNNNNNNNNNNNNNNNNNNNNNNNNNNNNNNNNNNNNNNNNNNNNNNNNNNNNNNNNNNNNNNNNNNNNNNNNNNNNNNNNNNNNNNNNNNNNNNNNNNNNNNNNNNNNNNNNNNNNNNNNNNNNNNNNNNNNNNNNNNNNNNNNNNNNNNNNNNNNNNNNNNNNNNNNNNNNNNNNNNNNNNNNNNNNNNNNNNNNNNNNNNNNNNNNNNNNNNNNNNNNNNNNNNNNNNNNNNNNNNNNNNNNNNNNNNNNNNNNNNNNNNNNNNNNNNNNNNNNNNNNNNNNNNNNNNNNNNNNNNNNNNNNNNNNNNNNNNNNNNNNNNNNNNNNNNNNNNNNNNNNNNNNNNNNNNNNNNNNNNNNNNNNNNNNNNNNNNNNNNNNNNNNNNNNNNNNNNNNNNNNNNNNNNNNNNNNNNNNNNNNNNNNNNNNNNNNNNNNNNNNNNNNNNNNNNNNNNNNNNNNNNNNNNNNNNNNNNNNNNNNNNNNNNNNNNNNNNNNNNNNNNNNNNNNNNNNNNNNNNNNNNNNNNNNNNNNNNNNNNNNNNNNNNNNNNNNNNNNNNNNNNNNNNNNNNNNCCCCCCCCCCAAAAAAAUAAAUAAAUUUAAGUUUGUUUUUAAAAAAUAUUUUCAACUUCAAAAUUUUAUUUUUUCACCCCAACCCUUGAACCCCCCACCCCAAAAAAAAUUUAAGUUUGUUUUCAAAAAUUAUUUUCUACUCUAGUAAAAAUAAAAGAUAUUUCUCAAAAAUAUUUUUCAUUCAUAAAUCAAACACUAAAAAUCUUUUCCGGAAAAUAUUUUCUACUCACCAACCAAACAUGAAAAAAUAUGUCAAAAAUCAACUUGUUUUCCAGGAAAACAUUUUUUAGGAAAACAUUUUCCUUCAUACCAAACACACCCAUAGUUUAUUGUCUUUUGGCCAUUAUUUAGGAUUUAUUUUAAUGAGAGUUUCUGAGGCCUUGCAAUUUUCUGAUGUAAGGUAGUUGCUAAGUCCUCAAAAUGCCAAAUAUUCAAUGUUUCUAAGUCAUUUGUGCAACGUUUUUUUUACAGGGUAUCAUCUUCUUUAUAGACUGUUUGGCAGGAAAAAAACAGCAAAAGUCAAUUCAGUUUAUCAUAAUUGAUUAGUUAACAAGUUGAUUAUACAUAGUCUAAAAUAGGGAAAAAGUUAUUGGUUUAUCAAAUUAACAAUAGUGCCAACAUAAAUUAGAAGUGUUUUAUAGGGUAUCUAAACUUAUUGUUGAGUUUAAUUGAAGGCUGAAGGUCUGAAGCUAUUGAAUCAUAGAAACUUAAUAAUAAGGAUAUAACAGUGUCGAGAAAACCUAUGCUAAGGCAUAAAAUGGUACUCCACCGUACAUCUUACUUGUCCACUGUAUUAAAAAUAGUUGUCCAAUAAUACUUAUCUAAUUUGAAAAAUCAAGAGAUAAUUUAAUAUAUUCAAAAGGUAAUCUAGUAAUAUUACUCUGGCUAUUUGUUGUUUCUUCAGAUAUGUGUCAAGUCGAUAGUGAACAAGGUUUUAUUAACAAGUCAUCCAUUCAUCCACCCUUUUAACCCAUGAAGGCUAAUUAACACACAACUAUUGCUUCUGCCUGAGAAUCAACUAUCUUAUUGGUCACAUCUAGCACCCCUCUAGGCUCCAGGCCAGCAGUCCCAAGCCGAGGACUCAAUCAUCGAUCGAUCUAACUCUGAUACUGAUGUCAUAGACCAAACAAGAGAGUCCAACCCAAAAACUAGUCUAUUAGGUAAGAGAUCCCAUUAGCUAUAAUUUGGCUGAAAAAAAGGACACUAGUAAGAAAGUCACCAAGAAGUUAAGAAAAUUAAUGGAAAUUGUUCACAUAAACUACCCAACAGCCUAAACUAUUUUCCAAAUUUGUGUAAAUAUAUAUAUGCUGCCAGCAACUUCAAACAGCUCAACACAGUGUCUAAACUCCGUGAUUUGCAUCUUUACCUUCUGAGAAAACUAAACGACCAUUUUGCAGCAAAAAUGCAGGAAAGGGUGCUUGACAAGAACUGGUAUGUGCUUUAAGACGAGGAAUGUUUGGAUGUGCACUUCGACAUCGAUGACACCUUAGCUCCAUAGAAAGGAUAUUCUCGUCCUUCAAAAUGGCCUUCCCAUUUUGACUAACUUCAUCUAUUACAUCAACCGAAUCCCGGAAGAAGGGGGAGUUGAAUGAGUUCCAAUGCUUCUUAUUCUUAAGAUGAUUGGAAUCAAAGUCUUGGCUUAUCACAUGAAGAUGCAGUUGACGCAUUGAAGGAACCUACAUGGAAGAAACUUCAUUAAAUUAAGCAGUAGGAGAUGUAGAAGAAAAAUGACUUCAGCAUUUUGACUCGAUGUGAGGGAAGAGAUCAAGAAGAGAAACAAAUGAUUAGGGUUGAACAAAGGAGGGAUCAGGUCAAUGACAGACCUAGUAUUUUUGACACCUAGCAUAAAUAUAUACAUGAAAAGAUACUAAAAUUUCAAUAAAAAUUUAGUUUCAAACCGGGAAAAUGCAUAAGUACCCCCCUAGCCUAUACCCAAAAUCUCUGAGACACACCUAACCUUUACUAAGGUCCUAUUACCUCCCUAAACUUAUUUUUUUAUUAAUUUUCUACCCCUUUUCGGCCUACGUGGCACUAUCCUUGAAAAAAAUGUCAACACGCGUUGGGCCCACAAGAUAGUGCCACGUAGGCUGAAAAGGGGUAAAAAAUUAUAUAUAAAAUAAGUUCAGGGGGGUAAUAGGACCUUAGUAAAGGUUAGGUGUGUCUUAGGGAUUUCGGGCAUAGGCUGGGGGGGUACUUAUGCAUUUUCCCCAAUAUAUUCAAAGGCGGAAUGGAUUCAUAGGUAAGAGUUUAAAGGUUGAACUCAUUGAAUUUAAAUCCUGAAUCCUCCUUUGGAUCUGCAGGAAGCUUGUUGGCAUGGCUUGAGUAAAGAACUAGGAGUAAGAAUCCCUAGUAAAAAGUCCAACACCCAAAACAUGCCCAUGUAUGUAACAUACCAACCAAUAUAAACAAAAACUAGUUCUAUUUACUCAACUUUGUCAUUUGUAAUAUGUUGACCUGGCCUUUGUUAUAUGAUGACCACCAUUAGAUGCAUACCAAAACCACCUCAUUUCAUUUAAUUUACCAGUUUCUCUAGCGGACUGGUGCCUGGUGAACUUCUCAUCCACGCAAAGCUUAACAAAUUUUGCAAAUAUCUUUAUAAUAGAGAUAAUGUAAUGAUAAGUUACAGAACACCCGAGAGAACAACCCACCUCCCAAAAAAAUAGAAAAAGAAAAAGAGAAGGUUGAGGAUAAAACCAAAAAGAAAAAAAUAAGAGAGAAAUAUCAAAAACACCCCUAAACUUGGCGCAAAUUAUUACUUUCAUCCCCAAACUAUUGACAACCUUAAAUAGAAUCCCCAGGAAAGUGUAAGCACCUGUAUACAAUUUCGAUUUUUCUUUCUAUAUGUAGAUAUGGCUUUCUGGAUAUUAUUAGAAAUGCCCAAAAAAAAAUCAUAUUCGUAAAGCAGAAACAUAAACGCACUCCUAUGAACGUGGAAAAUAUACCGGAUUCAAUGGAAUAUACCAAGCUAAAUCGAAUCGCUCGAAAGCACGGGAUGGGCCUUCCCUUCCUUUACGUCAUCCACCACCCUGUCCUAUCCACUCUCCCAAAAUCUCAACUCGUAAUUUGAAGAAACACUCCUCUACUUGACUAACUAAACUUAGAUACACCCCCGAUACACUCCCGAUAUGCAACACGACAUAGCAAGUGGUCUCAAACUCUUGUAGGAGCAUAAGUUCUUAAUAAAAAUCAAGAGAAGUGUUGAAAACACCCCUAAACUUGACGAGAAUUUAGGGCUGUAUUUCACUAAUGUUUCAAGAUCGAGAGUGUAUUUAGCUUUAAUUAGUCAAGUAAAGGGGUGUUUUUAAGGCUGUCAAUAGUACAUGGAUGAACCUAAUAAUUUGCGCCAAGUUUAGGGAUGUUUUUGAUACUUCUCUCAAGAAUAAAUAAAUAAAUAAAUAAGGGGGCACUCUUAUGUACUUCCUUUCAUAUCUCUUAAUGACUCUUAAAACACAUAAUAUUUGGAGAUGGUUCAACGUACCGAAUGAUAUCCAAGGCGGAAUGUCAAUGAAUUGUUUUCAGAUAGAAGCUUUUCUGCCCACUUCAGGCCAACACUGUGCAUUGUCUUUAAUAAAGUGAGGUGCUCCUUCUUAGCAUCUUCAAGACGGUCAAGACCUUCAACACGUGCCAACACUAAGAGGUGUUUCUGAGCCUGCACGAGAAAAUAAACCAUACAUGUAUUUUUCAAAUUCACAAGGGAGAAGGGCCAAAAAGCAGGGUGAGGGAGAGAGGAGGAUAACCUUUGGAUAAAGAUCAUUCAGUACUACAACAUCAUCUGACAUCUCUAUUAUAUUCUUAUGCCUCUCAGGAUGCAUUGCAGUGUCAUAAAGAGCCUGAGCCCAUGAGCCCCAUGCCUUUCUUGACUGUCCACCAGUGUUUCCAUCAUCAGAACUUCCAACAUUGGGUCCGAGUUCUUUCACAAAGCUUUUAAACUUCUUGUUCAUGUCUGUUUCACAGACAGCUUCACGCUUGGCUUUCUGAUCACCACUUCUAGAACCUUGCUCUAGUUGAACUUCUCCUUUAAAUUCUUUUUCAAACUUAUCCUUACAUGGCUCUUCUUGAGUCCUAACUAUAGAUGCAAAACCAUCAAAGAGUGAUGAGUAAGCUUCUCGGAGUAUUUUACAGCCCUUGACGUAGUCAUUGUCGAGACAGUUUGGUCUUUGGGGAUUCAUAUUUGGUCCAAGUACAUGUAUGACAUGAGUAACUCCUUCCCCACUAAACAAGGGAGAAAAGGAAGGAAGAGGGACAACAAUAGCUUUUCCAGAACUAAGGGAUUCAGCUUUAGCUUUGGUUGCAGUUUCAAGGGUGGGACCCGCGGCACUAAAUAUAGCAGCAUUUACGCCUCCACCUCCUGGUUUUAGUCGCCUGAACAAAGUUGGCUUUUAGAUGGCACACAAAAAGUUAACAACACAUAAUAUCCUUACAAUAUAACACUUAAGGUGAAAACACAGAAAGAAUGUGUAGACAGAAUAUUGUAUUACAACGAGUGGUGAGAUUACAAUUGAUUUGUAUCAAGGACCUGCUGGACAUUGUACAAAAAAUGAGAUAUCUGCAAGAUAUUCUAGCACCCUGCUAUUUUAAUGGAUUGCAUGCACACAACUGAUCAUCAAAACCACGUGUGUGUACCAAAUUGACUCAUGAAUCAUGAAAGUAAAUUUCUGCUGGAUAUAUAAAUCCCCAUAUUGCACCUCUGGCAAAAGAAGGUUAUUUCAGGCACAAGGCUACACAUUGUUCCAUUUGUUUAACAUGCCAUCAACCAACCUUAAAACUGUUUAUCGUUUGAAAAAUAGCACUUUAUCUCAUUGAAAUUUUUGGCAUACUUCCUUUUGCAUCCAAACUUAUAGGUAAAAUUUGGAGCCUCCUGAAAAGAUGGUGUACAAAUGAAUUUAAUGUACUACCACUUGAUCUCCCUCACAACUUUCUGGUCACUAAACAAAAUCUCAACAGCAGAACAUUCAAACAGAAAGAAAAAGGGAAGUUUCUGGUAAGCCUUUUGCAUUAUUAUAUCAAGUUUCUCAUUUUCACUAGCACAGUAUCAUGGCGCAGAGAAUUACCAGUUAGUGGCGUUAGCAAUCACGUUGCAGUGCAAACCUCCUUCUGAGUAAAGUUUAGUUAUAUUCCCUACAAACGUAAAGAACUUUUUGGAGUUGAUGUUCUUCUCUGCAGCUUUAGCCCUGACAAGGGACAGUAUUUUUGAAUUCUGAGAUAAAUCCACCAAGACAAGCCUAGCACUCCCAAGCUUAUUUACAUAUUCCUCAACCUUUUCAACUAUUAUAUCCGAUGCUUUUUCAAGAUUGAAAUGGAAAUCUGCUGUAGAAAUAGAUGGAAAUGCAAGUGUGGGGGCAUUUUCUAAAGAAAUGCUACAGCCAACAGAUGCCAUUUUCGGUUCUUCACAGCUUUCAAGUACUUGGUUGGAGUCCUUUUCCUUGGUGGCAUGAGAUUGAGUAUCCUCCAGAGAGACAUUCAUCAUAGUAUCAGAACAUCCAGGAGGAUCCUUUUUUUUGAGGAACUUCAUUAUACCAAGUUGGACUUUGGCAUCUGACUUCUUCUGGCCAAAAAAACCUGGUGGAAGUUUAUCUGAUGGACCAAGUGCAGUGUACGUAUUGAUAGCAGCUUGAACAUCUUUUUCAUCUUGGCAAACUGUAAUUCGAUCAUAUCCUUCAUUCAGCUUAGGCAGCUCUUUCUUUUGCAGCAUCCUAUUCACAACUGCAGCAGCUUUCCCACCUUGCAAGUUCCCUUCAUGCCCUGUCCUCUUAACCGACCGAGAAAUACAAAGCUUAGCUGGAAGAUCAAGUGCCACAGCGUGUUUCUCAACUUCUGGACCAACAAGCUUCACAAAGUCGGCCCGCUGUUCUCUAUCUAAGUUGCAUCUAUCUAUAAAUACACUUUUUCCUUCCUUCAGCGCACUAGCUGCACCUGUCAAACAUUGCUUCUUUGUCCCAGCCUUACCAUUCCCAAUGGUAUCCUACAAUAGCAAAUAGAACUGGUCAAUUUACCAAAGUGAGACCGUAACAUCACAAUAGCUGGCUGUUGGCAUAGCAUUCCAUUUAAUAAUCUGCGAGGUGUAGUCGCAGUACUAUAAACUCCACAGAAGACAAACAUCAACAUGCUUCAAAUUCAAAUAAUCAACAAAGGAAAACAUUCUCAGUAAGAAAAACAUAACACAUGUGAAAUUGCAAAGCUAAGCUACUCUAGCCAGACUGAACAACUACAAAACAACACUUCAUUUCUAGUACAAGUGAUGAGGGACAUUGUACAACAACCGGCAAAAAUACCCUCUUUCAGCCCAAAAACAAUGACAGACUUCAGAGAAUAAGGAUCAACUCAUUUAAUUUCCCCAUGAAUUCGGGCAUAAUUUCUUUUCUUUUUUUUAAGAAAAUGAUAUUUCUACAUACAUAGUAAUUCAUUCAGGCAUUCCAUCAAACAGAUAGUCUACAAACAUACAAAGAAACAAAAAAAACAAACAAGGUGAGAAAAAUGAAAAUUGGAACUAACCUGGCAAAUACGAACCCAAGGCCUGGUUGAGACUCGCAUUACAAGGUCACAAAAUGUGGACUUACCACUUCCUGGAGCUCCUAUCAGUAUUACCAUUACAGGUUUCCCUUUGCCUUCUUCUUUCGCUUCAUCCUUCCCUAUUUUCAACAAAUUAAUUAAGUCUCAAUCCUAAAUUAGUCGGGGUCAGUCAUCUAUAUACCCAUUUCUCAAAUAUAGAGGAUUCGUAUACAGAAAAAAGAAGAAUGAAUGAACAAGUUGAGCAAUAAUUUACCUGCAGAAUCAAUCUCCAUUGCUUCCAUGGUGUUAUCAAAAGAUGCAAAGGUCAGUGAGUUAGUCGCACUAAAUGAGGAAUUGGAUCGGUUGACAUGCCCAUGGGAGGACUUCGGAGCUUCUCAGGUUCGAAUCUUACACGAAACACUUCCAAAGGGUUGAAAAAAGAAAAACAAAAAUGACAACGGGUGUGUUUGGUAUAAUGGAAAAUAUUUUCCCUUAAAAUUGAUACUCCCUCAUUCCAUUUUAUGUGACAUCGAUUUGAUAUGGUGUUAAAAAUAAAAAAGAAAAACUUUUAAAAUUUGUGGUAUGAAAUAAUUUUUAGAUAUUUGUGUGGCUUAAAUCCAUUUCAGUAAGGAUAAAAUGAAUAUUUUAAAGUUAAAUUAUUUCUAAUUAUGGUAAGAUGACAUUCUUUUGUAACCGGCUAAAAAGAAAAGGUUGUCACAUAAAUGCAUAAUACAUAAGCAUGAUCCUUAACUUGGUGUCAGCUGACAACUAGGACCUUUAACUUUGAGUGUGCACAAAUAUACUUGAACUUGUAUAAAAUUGAACAAAUAGAAACAUUCGUCAUACAUGAAAAUUUUAUGUCCUACGUGGCAUCCUACAUGUAUUAUGCCAUGUAGGACAUGUGUGUCUACUUGUUUAAUUUUAUACAAGUUUAAGUGUCUAUUUGUACACACUCAAAAUUGGAGGACAUAGUUAUCCGUUGAAAUCAAGUUAAAGAUCAUGUUUAUGUAUUACGUAUAAAAUGGGAAUGAAACAUAUAUAAUAUAUAUAGUAUGAAAUACAAAUUGAUUUACUUCAUUACUAUUUUGUCCAUUACUUUUUAAUGGGUGUAGUGAAUGAAAGUCAGGUGUACAAAUGAAUAUGAAUAGUCAAGAUUAUUUUUCUUGUUAUACUUACACGAAAUGCAGUUUAAUUAAUUAAUAACUUUUCUAAGAUAAUAUUUUUCUCCGAUCCCGACUUGAUGAUGGGUCAUGGGAUACAUAUUUCAAUUUAAUUUUGAGGUUCGAAAUAAGAGUCACCUAGUUGAUAGUGGUAAAAACUAAAAAUAUUUUUGCCAGUUUCUAAUAUUCCAAAAUCAAACAGAAGACAUUUUAAUUCUAUUUCUAUUAAAGAAAAAAAAAAAAAACUCAAGAACAUUUUUUUAAUUAUUAUUUUCUGUUUAAUUUAUUGUAUAAUAAUUAAUAAUAAAUCAGAUCUAAGUAGAAAGGGUGAAGUACUCCUUAUAAAUUUCCGCUGCGAAAAGAGUUUCAAAGAGCACGGUCAGAUGUGGUGCAGCAGAUGAGAUUGCUACUAUUUUAAUUAGAGGUCUUGAAUUCGAGCUUUGAAUAUAAAAAAUAAUUGAUAGGAAGGCUUUUCCCCGAAUGGGACCCUACAAAGGCGCAAUUUCAAAUGAAUUGAAAUCCAAUAUGAAUACCGAUCACCGAAUAGUUUAAAAAAAAGAAAGAAUUUCAAAGGAAAAGCCAUUAAUAGAUGAUAAGCUAACAAAAGCAAGCGACAAAAUACAAUACUUAGUAGUCGUUUGGUACAAACAUUGAUAACGCAGGAAUUAGUAACACGUGAAUUAGCCCGUGGAAUACAAUCCCUCCAGGAAAACUAGGAACUCAGAAAAUACAUUACAACAUAUAGUGGCAACUCCCAAUAUUCUUUGAACAGCUAGAGAUUUUAUUGUGGAUUUGGUGGACGACUAAUAGCUGCUGAGACCCUAGAACCCCAUUCAAGUAGCUCUUUGCUAGUGUCAUCUUUGUGGACAAUCACUUCAAUGAAACACAAACAAUCUAUCUUUGCUCCAUUUGCUGUUUCAAUUGCUUCCACCAACUCCUCUUCACAAUAAACCUGCAUACAAUAGAGACGUUCCGUUACGAAUCCUUUCAUUCAACAUUCGGAGUUAAAAAACAAAGGUGAUGAUUGAAAAUUUGAACAUCCACUCACCUUAGUUGUCCAACAUUUUCCUUCUCCGUUAUGGAUUGCAUCGACUAAUCCUGUGUAGUUCCAAUUCUUGAUCACAUUGUAAGGUCCAUCAUGGAUCUCAACUCCAAUUCUAUAACCAACAUUGUUCAUCAAGAAGAUAAUGGUCCUUUGCCCACACCUUAGCAUUGUUGAAAUAUCCUGAGCGGUCACCUGCAAGUAUUUCAUUUGACAUAAAAGUUGGAUUAGACACACCGGGGAAUGCCAACAAUUCAUUCUCCUCUAUUCAAUUCAAAUGGAGUCCUUUUAAUUACCUGAAAGCUACCAUCACCGAUGCACGCAAUCACACGUUUGUCUGGUGCAGCUUGUGCGUAACCAAGAGAUGCACCAACAGACCAACCGAUAGAUCCGUACUGCAUUUGGAACUCAUACCUAAAGGACAAUCAAGAACGACAGAACUCAUUAAUAUGAUUUGUCAUGCAUCCUUAAUGCAUACCAAAAUGAGAGCAAUUUGCAUUGAUUUGUUCUGUGCUCACCCGCAUCCUUGUGGCAAUUUCAGUUUCUGACAGUUGAACCACGAGUCCCCCGUUUCAGCAAUCACAGCACUCUCACCAGACAACAUAUUCUGAAUGUGCUGAAAUAGAACAUUAACUCUUAAUGCCUCCUUAGGCUCGCAUUUGAGAGGUUGUCCAUCAAGAGCAUAAAUCCUAUGAUAAUUCUCAUAAGAAGUUGGAUUAUGCUUCAAUCUCUUUGCUAAUGCAGCAAGGAAAUCCCUCAUCAGAACACAACCAAAUGCAGGUCCGUUCCCAAUUGUCACACGACCAGGCUGGACAAUGAUCGCUUUCUCUUUCUUGAGAAGAAGAGAAUAACCAACAGUGCUAUAGUCGUUAAAAAUUGGUCCAGCAAACAAGUAUGCAUCAGCAGAUUCAACGAUUUCAGCACAGAAGGCCGUGCUCACUGCACCCCAGUAAGUUCCUAAAAAAUGUGGUUGGUGUUCCGGAACCAAACCUUUAGCGGCUGGCAUCACUGCCACCGCAUAACCACAGCUGUCAGCCAACUCAACAAAAGCAUCACAUGCCUUUGCAACCCGCAUAUUCUGCCCUGCAACAAGCACUGGCUUUACUGCUCUGUUCAAAAACUCAGCCGCUGCUUCCACUGCCGCUUCCAAACCCAUCAGAUUACUUAAUCUGGAAGCAUUAUACAUAAUAUAUCAACCUAGUAUAAAAGUGUACAAUAGUAUAUAAAAGGUUUAUACACAAAUAUGGGAUAAACCGAGUAACAAACUCAAUCUAUGAGCUACAUGACGUAGACAUAGAGCGGAAUUUUCCUAAUAUUUUACCUGGGAGAGAGGGAAAAUGGAACUGGUUCACGACGGAAUGUAGGGUGUGGAAUCCCGGGUAAAUUACAUCCUACGCUAAUAUAAACCGGUUUACUCUCCUUCAAACAUGUGGAAAUUGCAGUGUCAAUCAGUUCAUGAGCAUCGUCUAAAUUAUUUAACACAGCCUGAAAAACCCAAAAAAGAUAUAUUCUAAAAUCAAGCUUCAGGGUCAUUAGUUCGAAGGAUUCUAUUAUGUAAAAUCAUAGGAUGAAGGAUUCUAUUAGUUCCAUAAUCAUUCGAAUUAGGUCCACCAACAAUACAAAUCAAAGGUAAAUUUUCACUAUAAGCACCAGCAAUUGCAUUAAUAACACUUAAUCCACCGACGGUGAACGUAACUACACAAGCCCCAAUACCCCGUGCCCUAGCAUAUCCAUCAGCAGCAUAACCGGCAUUUAGCUCAUUACAACAACCUAUAAGGUUAAGUUCAGGUUCAGCUACGAGAUGAUCGAGAAGCGUCAAGUUAAAGUCACCGGGAACGGAGAAAACAUCGGUUACUCCGAUUUGGACUAAACGGCGGGCGAGAUGACGGCCGAGUGUUGAUUCAGGGGAAUUGAAAGGAACAGUGGAGUUUUGGAUUGCACCAAUCAUGAAGUCCAUUAUUUCUUCGCCUUUUUGACUAUAAAUCAAAAUUCUCGUUGAGAUAGGUGAAUAUACUUCGAGAUUAUAUAUGAUGAUGAAUAAUAGUAUGAAGGUUUGUUUUGGUUUGGUUUGGUUUUGUGAGUAAGAGAAAUGGAGGGAGUUGAGAAGAUUUAUAUAGUGUUUGGAUAAAGAAGAAACAGGGGGCAGAUUCAAAUUUAUUCAAGGUACGUAACACAACUAUGAUAUAUGGCUAAGUAGGUUGACAAAAUGCUGACUACAAUUGUGUAGAAUUUGAAUAUUCAAAUUAUAUUUGCCUUUGAUCGCUGAGACGUCAAGUCAAAUGAUGCCACAUAAAAUGAGAUAUAGGGAGUAAGAAAUUAGAAAGAUAGGCGAACGACUUGACCAUAGUAUAGGUCAGAUGUUUCCGUGAGCAGUAAACAAUAGAUCCCCCCUUGUUUUGGGAAAGCUGGUGGCCGUAUGUGAAUUCUUUCAAGGCAAAGGGCGGCCUGAUUCGACAUUGUUGUUUACCCUGAUCCGGUCGAGGUGAUUUUUGUUCACCAACAUGUAGGUGUUCUAAAUUCCUAUGAUCGAAUCUUGUUGGCCCCUUUGAACCUGUGAAAAGUGGUAAAUGUCGACUAACGGCCAUUUCAUGCUAAAACGCAUUUUUAGCAAAGUAAAGCUGAGUUUAGCAUUCCUUUGUCCUGGUAGGUUACAACUUACAUGUUAUAGGUUGAGUUGGUGAUUAACCAAAAUUACUUAAUUACCAAUAUAAAAAGAAGUUAAAAGCAACAGCUAAAGUGGGAAGUAAGGAGUAUAUCAAAUUAAUUUUUUUAUUUAGUUAUUAAUAUUGUUAUCUAAUUUGUAUUACUAAAACAUUUAGAACAAUGACUUUGCAGAAAUUCGUAAGAAACAACAAAAUUUUAAGUAUGUUAUAAAAAAAAGAGUCUAAAAUCACUAUUGAAAAUAGAAUUUGUAACAAAACAAAAAUAAUAUCGAAAAAAAAUAAUCAAGUCCACUGAAUGCACAAUGUGUCCUUAAGGAAAUUAUUGUCAUUAAGUAUUCGAGGUUAAAGGAAUAUAUCCUGCCAGGUAGAAUGAUUCUACUAACCAAUAUAUUGGUAAAUACCAAAAAUAAUGUUGUCAACGAACCAUUUAAUGGAAGCAAAGUACACUAAAUUUAUUUGUGCAGAAGAAGAAGAUUAAAAAUAUUCUUAGUUGAAAGUAUGAGGAAUCAAAAGUUUAACUUUAUAGUUCGAAGUAUUGUUUUCAAAAGUCUGCAACCUUCCAGAAUAGUCACUUAAGUACGGUUGUUUCUGAAAGUUUGUAACUUUUCAAAAGAAUCACUUAAUGAAUGAUGGAAAUCUUAAAUACAUCUGCGAAAGAGACUAAAUCAAGUCGCGCAAAUUCUGUUCGAAACUGAGUUGUUCGGAUUGGCUAAUUUAGUAAUCAAAAUAAUCUCUCGAUCAAUCAUUUUUCAAACUCAAAGCUACAGAAGAAGACGAAGACGGGCCAAGCAAGGAAUAGGGAUGACGACACGAAGGGUCCCUCUUUCCGACCCUUUUAAGAACAAGCAAACGUGUUUUCUUAUUUAAACACUUGAAUUUUUCUUUCUAUUAUUAAUGAAUAUUUUUCUCUCAAUCAUAGAGAAACACUUCAUAUUCUGUGCUUUCAUAUUCCCUUUAUUUCAUUUAUUUUUACUAUACUCAAUAAAUAUAAAAUAAAAAUAUAUGUCAUAUAAUUAAUCAUGAAGUGAGAAAUAUGAAAAAACAUAUAUUUUAUAUUUAUGAAUUUAAUAUUAUAUUUUUUUUAAUCGAAAAUGUGCUUGGGACUUGGGGUGAGCAAUUGAAUGGAAAGACGGUAUAUAUGAAAAAUGAGUUUGAUUAGAAAGUGAAGAGAAAUAUGUUCGGUUGGAUUUAAGCCACAAAUGAAAGAAUUGUGGACAACUUAUUAUAGAGAACAAUUUAUAAAACUCAUAUAGUAUAAUUUUUAUUGAUGAAUAAUAUAUUUAUAAAAAAUUUAAUACACUUAUAAUACAUCGUGUUAAUCUCUUACCAAACAAGCAUAAUAUAUUUUAGAAACAAUUAUAAUAUAUUUAUAUCUGAAGUAAUUUUUCCAAGUAAUAAUUAUAUUGUUAAAUGUUCAUAACUCUUUUGUCCAUUUAUUUAAGCGAACACCUCCUUUAAAUACAUAGAACUUUUAGUAAGUUGAAUAGAUUUCCAACAUACAAUUUACUUAUACAUAUAGUAUUGAGAGAAAUAUUGUUGAUGUCAUUUUCUAUUAAUAAUGAUAGUUAUAUAUAAAUAUAGAUAGAUAAUAUGUGAAAAUUGAUAAAAGAAGAAGGAAAAGAAUUAUAGAUGAAAAUGAACAAGUCAAGAAUACAAAUCAAGUUUUGAUUGUUAUCUCAAUAGUCAACACAAGUUAUCUUUAUACGGAAAAGAAAUAUAGAAGUUGAUAUCAAAUUGUCACAUUAGGGUAAGAAGAAGUUGCUCGGACGGUAAGUACCUCUCACUUUCAAUUCUGUGAUUGCUAAAAUUAAAUUAGUUUAUAAUUUGUUUCACCAAAAAGAAGGAUCAUUAAUAUUUUGUGAUUUUAUUUUUGUUAUGAGUUACUUAAUGUUGAUUAUUAUUGUAAUUCUUUUCGUCUUCUUCCUUUGUAUCUUUGUAAAUAUAUCGCUAUUCUUAAUUAUCAUUGCAUCAACAUCUUUAAGUUAAUGUAACUUUUUGAACAAUUAAAUUUCUUCUUGUCUCUUACUAAUCUUGAUAGGAUAUAUGAAUUUUAGUUUUAUUCAUUAUCAUAUUAAUUACAAUGUACUUACUCUUCCUUCUGCAAUAUUUGAUGUAUGUAUCUAUCAAAAUACACAUAUAACAGGAAUACGGUUAAUUAUAAGUUUAUUGGACUAUUCAAAUUGUAAGAUUAUCGUAACAGGAACGAGAAUGUGUACCUGUUAACAACAAUUGAAUGAUAAUGAAGUCUUGUGAAAGAUUGCUCCAAGUUCAACUUUGAGACUCAAGGAAUCAAAGCUAUGUUUCCACCCCUUUUUCAAAUUGGUACUUAUCUCUUUUUCAGAAAAAAAUUGGGUUGAUCCACAUGAGCGAUCCACAAUCCAAAGCUUACAUCUCCCACUUCGCACAUGGUGGACAAGACCUAAAUCAAUAUGAUAUCAACUAAACACACAAUUCAUACGACAAAUAGGUCGUGCGACUUGUGAGUACCAAGACUUACUUGAAGAUUUUUACAAGCCCUACAUAGGAAUUCAAUCACAUGUGGAAAGAAUUCACUAUUAAUUUAAGGACACUAUUACUCACAAUACCCCAUACUUCGUUCACUACUUCAGUAGUUACUCAUUCGAUCCCUCAUCCUCUUAAAAAUGUUAACUGGAGUUCAUGUUUAACUUUAUACACACAAUUACACUCAACAUCAAUAUGGUUAGUGCAAUAGCCGGCAUGUGUGUAUAAGUUUAUUAUUCAAUUAAUUGUCUUUUCUUUCUACUUGAAUCUAUUUGUUCCUAUUCAACUAUUUUCCUAGACAUGCACUGCGUUGCCGAAUCAUUCAUGGCUGUUAGUAACAUGCUAAAGUAGCAACAUCGAUUGAAACUUCAAGAAAUAGCAAAAGGUCAAAGGAUAUUUCAUUGAGAAGUCAUUUUAACUUUUCAGGGUCUCACACAAUGAAGAAGCAGAGAACCAUUCUUUCAUUGACCCAUUAAUUGCAUGACAUACAUGCUACGAUGUUUUCACCUUAUAUUGGUGUAUGAGUCUCAUUCUUUCGAUUAUCCAACAUUGUACAGACCUUGGUCUAAACAUCUCCAGAUGUUUAACCCUAGCUUCUCUCUUCAAUGAUCCUUAAACUCUUGUUCUUAGAGAAACACUUGUUUGGCUCAUAAAACAAGUCAAAAUAUGGUGUCAAAACUCAUCUCUUCACGUUCCUCGAUAUAAGAGGCAAUUGCUCGUUGAGAGAGCCAAUCUCGCGACUUAUUUGAUACACUUUAUUUCUUACAAAAUAUCAUAUGCAUACCACAUUUGAACAUAUAUAAAUUCAAUAGAAUUAUAUAGAAGAGAAUAUUAUAACAAUCAAGUUAUUUUACAAUACUAAAAUAUCAUUAAAUCCUACGCAAACCUAGAGCCUUAACAUGUUUUUCAAACAAGUCUCUAGAGAUGACAUUCGUAAAAGGAUCAACUAUCAUUUCACGUGUAGGAAUGUAUUGCAAAGUUAUUUCUCCACUUGCCACUACGUCUCUUACAAAGUUAUACUUGAUGUCAACAUAUUUGGUCUUGCUGUGAUACUUAGGAUCCUUUGUGUAUGCGAUAGCCACUUGACUAUCACAAUAUAGAAUCAUGAGACCCUUAGAAUUCUUUGCAAUACUCAAAUGUUCAAAGAAUCUCUUUAACCAAACAACUUCUUGUACUGCAUACGCACAAGCCACGAAUUUAGAUUUCAUGGCUGUGCAAGUUUUCUUCUUACUUUUCCAUGAAAUAGCACUACCAUUUAGUAAGAAAGCAUAACUGGAUGUUGAUUUUCUAUCAUUCCGGUCACUAGCCCAAUCAACAUCUGUAUAACCUCUUAUAAAUUAGAUCCACUAUAACAUAGUGUAUGAUCCGCAGUUCUCUUCAGGUAUCUGAAUAUUUUGUUUACUGCUUUCCAAUGAUCUCUUUCGAAAUUGAAUUGAUACUUGCUAACCAGACUCACGUCAUAAAAAAUGUCUGGGUGAGUACACAUCAUAUCAUACAUCAAAUUCCCGACAACACUAGAAUAAGGAACUCAAUACAUGUCUUCCUUUUCUUUUUCAGUCUUUGGACAUAUUUCAAGGCUUAAAGUUUCACCGCUUGCUACAGGAGUAUCCAUGGAUUUGCAACUAUUCAUUCAAAAACGUUCCAAUAUUUUCUUAAUAUAAGUUUCUUGAGAUAAACUCAAAAAUUUCUUGGAACGAUCUAUUUGGAUCUUAACACCCAAUAUAUAGUCUGCUUCACCCAUAUCUUUCACAUCAAAUGAUUUCGAAAGCCAUUACUUGACAAUUUUCACAUACUUUAAAUUAUUUCCAGCUAAUAAAAUAUCAUCUACGUAAAGAGAAAGAACUACAAAUUUUUUAUUGGGCUUUUUCACAUAGAUGCAAUGGUUUUCAUCGAUCAUGGUGAAAUCAAAUGACAUCAUCUCCUUAUGAAAUCUCAGCAAGAUUGCUUUAGGCCAUAAAUUGAUCUUUUCAAUUUACAAACUUUCUUUUUCUGACCUUUAACAACGAAACCUACUGGUUGUUCCAUGUAGAUUUUCUCAUAUAAUUCUCCAUUGAGAAAAGCGGUCUUCACAUCCAUUUGGUGUAAUUCUAGAUCUAAAUGUGCAACAAUAGCUAAAAGUAAUCGUAUGGAGGUAAACUUUACAGCUAGUGAAAACGUUCUCAUAGUUUAUUUCAACUUCUUGAGUAAAACCUUUUGUCACCAAUCGUGUUUUGUGUCUUUCUAUUGACCAAUACGAUUUGUAUUUAUCUUUGAGAAUCCAUUUAUUCACAAUAGCUUUACGUUCCUUAGGAAUGUCAACUAGAUCCCAAACUUUGUUGAUUUUCAUGGACUCUAAUUCUUCUAUCAUCGCUUUUAACCAUUCAUCCCUUUUAGGGCUUGAUAAGACCUCACUUACAAAAUUAGGUUCAUCCAAUUCUGUAGGAGAUACCAAGAAAACAUAAUUCUCAAGAAAACAUAUCUUAUACUCUUAUGUAAUUGAAGUUCAUAUUCCUCCAUAGGAUUUUGGGAUUCAUAACUCUCACUUGGACCAGGUAUUAUUUCUUGAUCAUUUGAGUUAUCAAGUAUAUCUUACGACACUACCUGAUUUUCUGAAUUCAACAUUUCGUAGAGAGGCUUACCUUCAUCUAUUUCACUUUUUUGGGAAAAUCAUUUUCCAAAAAUCUGACAUCUCGUGAUACUAUUCCAAUAAUACUUCCAUCUUUUAGUUCAUCAAUGCACACAUAUCUUUUGGAGCGUUCAGAGUACCUUAUAAAGAUGCAUUUCUUUUCUCUUAGACUUAGUUUACCAAACUCACCAAAACGAUCUUUAAUAUAUGUUGCACAACCCCUACGGUUGUAGAUCAUUCAGGUUUGUUUUAUGACCAGUCUAAAGUUCAUAAGGAGUGAUAGACACUGAUUUAGAAGGCACUUUGUUCAAUAUAUGGGCCGCAAUCAAUAAUGCAUCUCCCCAGAAAGAGAUAGAUAAAUUUACAUGCGCCAUCAUUGACCUAACCAUGUCUAAUAAUGUUUUAUUCCUUCUUUCAGCUACACCCUUUUGUUGGGGUACAUAAAGAGUAGUUAAUUGUCUGAUAAUACCAUUUUCAGUACAUAAUUCUUUAAAUUAUUUUGACAAAUAUUCACGUCCUCGAUUAGUUCUUAAAGCCUUUAUGCUUUUAUCUAAUUAAUUUUCAACUUCAUUUAUAUAUCUUUUAAAGCACUGAAGUGCUUCAAAUUUAUGAGAAAUCAAAUAGACGUAACCAAAACGCGUGAAAUCAUCAAUAAAUGUAAUGAAGUCUGUAGCACCAGACCUAAUUGCCUUCACAUUCAUUGGACCACAAAUAUCAUAAUUGAUUAAUUGAAGUGAAAACUCUGCUCUUUUAGCCUUUCCAAAUUGUUUACGUGUAAUCUUUUCAGCAAGACAAUUUUCACAAGUUAGCAUAUCAAUUUUGGUGAAAGAACCUAAAUGCUCUUCCUUUGCCAACCUAUUCAUUCGAUCUUGCCCUAUGUGACCUAAUCUUGCAUACCGUAUAAUAACAUCAAUAUCAUUGUUACUUGAAUAACAUGCCAUUACACAACGGUCAACAUAAUAUCCAUAAGUUGAAGGAUUACAAUCUAAAACGUUAAAAUGAUCAUAACGAAGUCUAAAAUCAUAUAAAACAUUAUCUAGAGUUAUUCUAACACCAUUACGACUAAAAAAAUAAAUCAAAAUCAACAUUUAAAAGAACAGACACAAAUACUAAGUUACACUGAAUCUCUGGAGCAUAUAAGAUGUCGUACAACAUCAAAGAACGGCCACCACGCAAGCCCACUUUGCAAGUGCCUAUCCCUUUGACAUCUAGUUUUACAUUAUUUCCUACGUAGAUUCACCUUGAUUUAGAUGAAACUCGACGAAACUCCACUAACCAUUCUUGAUCUCGACUCACGUGGUCGGUGGAUCCUGAGUCUACCAUCCACAUAUGAUAAGAUUCAGUUAGUAAAUAAGUGCUAGAAACAUAUGUAGCACCCAGAGAUGCGUUUAGAAAUGCUACCUUUUUCGGCUCAGUACAUUCAUGAGCAAAAUGCCCCAACACUUGACAAUUGUCGCACUUCAUUUAGCUAUUGUCUCUUUUCUUGAAAAAACGUUUUCCCUUCUUGGAAUUUAGCUUCUUCUUUUUCUUGGAGGGUCCUUCUCCGGUCCCUUUGUCUUUUUCAUUUCUUUUCCAACUCUUCUUCCACUUGAAGCUUGAGGAUUUUGUACCACUUGACUCCGCCAUAAGGCAUUAGAAACAGUUUUAGUAGCACCAAGCCGCUCAUCUCCAAGUUCAACAUGACGAGCAACAUCAGAAAAUAUUUUGAUACUAUCAUAGGUCAAGUUGACCUUCAAAUGUUCCUAAUUAUUGGGAAGAGACCGAAUCACUGUCUGGAUUUGUUGUUCGUCUAAAAGAAUAUGACCAACACUCUUGAGUUAAGCUAUCAUGUUUGACAUCACCCUAAGGUGUUGUUUGAUAUUUUGAUCAUGACGCUUCUUGUAAGUGUCAAAUUUGAUAGUCAACUGUCAGAGGCGGGUUACUAAUGUACCCCAUAUGUUCCUCACAGAUGUGCCCACAUAACAUGAGCAGUAGGAAAUUCCUUAGAUUCAUGUAUGAGGUCAUCAACCACAGAACUAACUGCUAUUCCGUGUGCAGUGGAAUUAGCCUUUUUCCAAGCUUUAUAAGUUUCAAGGUCUCAUCUGUGUUGUGCAUUAUUUCUCUCUUCUGGUUGAUUCAAAACAUGAUUUAUAUCUUUCAGAGCAUUUUGCUCUUCCAGUACAUACCAUAUUUUACAACUCCAUAUGUUGUAAUUGUCACCGUUCAGUUUUUCACCUUUGUUUAAGUUAGCUAUAAUGCUUUUUGAUGCCAUGUCUGUUUGGAGAGAUAAAAGACAAGAAUUCUAAAUCAAUUUUGCAUGUGACAUACACAUUCAAGCAAAUUAAUUCUCAUAAAAGUUUCAUAUUUAAUGUAAAAUCGAAAGGACACGUAAGCAUCCAAUCAUCGCCUACAAAUUAAAUAUUUAAUUAAAAACUGUAAUUGAUUUCUUAAUUUGCAUUCUAAUAUAUUUAGGCCCAUAAUCACAAGUAUUUAUAUGUUUAAUAAUUAACACCAUAUGAUAAUGCAAAAAGAAUAACAACACACCAAUUCAAAAUAGGAUGGAACACAUAUAUUCAUAUUAAAACAUAAUCAACGGUGUUCUUUACAUAAUAUGCAAAACCAAAAUAAACACUUAAAUACUAGACUGCGAUUCUAUGUGAUCACGCUGGCCAUCUAGCUUCAAAAUUCACUAUGAACCUCCAUAAUGGUUCGUUAGGACCAAAUUCAUGAUAGAUGUUUGCUAGUUCCUUCUGCCAAUAAUCUAGUAAGUAAUUAUACAAAAUACCUAAUCCAACGUAAUCCUCAACAUAGAUGUAAUAGUUAUAAAUUUGAUUAAUUUUAAUCCAAAUUUUUUCACGGAAAUUGGGUAAUUGGUCAGACAAGUCCAUUUUGAUAUUUUUGAACUCUUCAAAUAAUCUUUUCCUUCUUUUUUACAUGCUCUUUUAUUGUUCUGAUUUUGCAGUAUCCUUGAGUCAUUUCUUAUGACUUUCGGUUGAUCCUUUUAUGUUACAUCCUCCUACCAUUUAUUUUUUCUCCUCUAUUAAUACCACUCCCACUUGGAGCAAUUGGAGCAUGUUCCCGUUCAGCCAUAUCUGAAAUGAAAACAAAAAAUCAGAAAAAUAUGGUUAAAAAGCAUUUAAUGCGACAACAUAUGUUACAAAUUUCUGGUAGAGGGCAAAGUGAUUAUUAAAAAAGAGUUUACUCCUAAGAGAAUUAUUACAAGACCAAUUUAAUUAUUUUUCAAAAUCAUAAUAUAUUUCCACACAUAUAUAUACAUAUGGUUAUUUAUAAAGUACAAAAACCCUAUCAAUAUUAUAUUAAUCCCCUUAAAAAAUAAUAUAUAAAAAAAUGAAGUGACUAGAUGUAUAUGAGAUUUUCAAAAUAAAUAAUACUUAAAGUCACAUUAGAUGCUAUAUUAUUUCUUUAUAAAAGGAGAAAUAACACUUCAUAAUCCUAAAAGAAACUGAACGCGUUUUUUUCAAAAUUAAAUAUUUUAAUGAACAAAAAUGUCAUAUCACUCUUUUUGUCCCUUUUUAAUUAGUAUUUAAAAAUAAAAAUUAAAGCCCAUGUUGACUCUUUCAACAAAUACAAAAAAAUAGAAAGUACUAACUACUUUCUCAUAACAAGUACAACAAAAUCAAUUACCUUUUAUCUUUUUUUAAGAGGCCACACAUUUUUCUUCCUUUUUUUAAAAUGAAGAGUUGUACUAAAAUUUGAAGUAGUACUACAAGUCAAAAAAAUAAAUAAAGGAGAAUUGAUGAGUCCUAGAUUUGGACUCAUUUGGGAAUUUGUUUAUAUAGAUUUAGUGUCCUCAAAUGCUUAAUUUGUGUCAUAUACUGAUGCUAAAGCCUUGAUUUUCAGGUAUAUGGAUUGAGGAGCAAAGCAAGGAUACUAACAGGCAAAAAAGAACAAAAAAAGCUGAAGGACUGAAGAACGGCGAGCCUGAGGAUUGCCAAGAGCACUUGGCCUGUCGCCGAAUUGCUAAUUUGAUCGCCUAAAGUUCCAGUGUGCCAAACUCUAAAGGAAGAAACCAAGUCGGUGAUGAAAAGUAGUAGUUGGCGGACCGCCGAGCGGUUCCGCGAUGCAUAGAGAGAUCUCCCAAAGUUACAGAACUUGAGGAUGCUGAGUCCCAAGGUGAAAAGGCGAUGGAACAUAUCAAAGGGCGGCUUGCCGAGUGGUUCGGUGAUCCCAACUUACUUCACCAAACGACCCUUUGUGGCUUAUUUUCUGCACCUAUAAAUUAGAUUUUAUUUAAGGAAGAGAGGAAUGCUGAGUAAGUUUUGAGUGUGGAACAAUACAAAUUUAGCUCAGAACACUUUUCUCUCUAGUUUUUGAUAGUUUUAAAGAAUUUUAGAGAUUUAAUUUGGAGAUUUUGGAAGUGGGUUUCAAAUAUUCUACAAAUUGAAGUCAUUGUAAAGACUAAAUCACUCUUACCCAGUUGAUGGAUAAUCGAUUUUUACCUUUUUAUGAUGCUUGGCUAAAACCCUAAUUCUUAGGGUGUGAUCAUGUGAUUAUGGAUAUUGUUAAUUACUAGUUUAGCUGCUAUUUUUAAGUGAGUUUAAUCAUUAAUUGUGGUUUAAUUUAUAAAUUGUAGUUGCAAAUGCAGUUCUAAUUUUGUGUUCUUGGCCUGCUCAAGAGAGAGGUUCUAGAACUAAGAUUAUUGAUUAAUAAUUUGUGGGCAUUGGGUUGAGCUGGAUUUAGCUCGAGAGAGUAAAUCCUAUAUCCAAUUCUACCCAUCUAGUUCGAAAGAGUGGAUGAAUUAAGGUGUGGGUUGUUCUUCAUUGUCAUGCUUGUUGAUGUUUGAAAUAAAUCACAUGCUUCGGGCUAGAUGUUCGAGAGAAAGCUAUCACCCUUAUAGUCUAGCCUACUCACUGAUUUUUAGUUGUUUACUAGUAGUUUUAACUACCCAUAUAUCGUAAUUUUCCUAUAAUCGAUCACAUCCCAAGAAUCCCUCUCCCUAUUGUUAUUUUGAAGUUUUUGUGACUGUUGUGUAGUUGAUAAUUGCAAACUCAAAACCCCCCAUCUGACACCCGUGUCACCCCUUUAGUUUGAUUAAUGUCUUUUUCAAUAAUUUCUAUUCCUAUGACAAAUUAGGCCACAUUCGUACUUCUUGAUUUAAUUUGAAACACGUACCUCUCCCUAUGGGAUUUGACCCCAACUCAAUUGUUGGGUUUUAUACUGAUUUACGAUUGUUGACACCUAGAAUUGGAUGAGUUGUGCUUGAAACGUUAAAUCACAAUGGUGCUGUUGCCGGGGAGUGGUGUUGUUUGAAAUUCUUUUGGUGAAGUUGAAUUGUGUUCUUUUUAGUUAUAGUUGAAUCUACUUAUUUUAGUUUUGGUUUUGUGUUGCUUGUGUUAAAACAGAGGAGGAGAUGAGCGUCAACAGAAGUAAUGGUAGCCAAGUGGGCCACCAAGACGACAUUGGAAACCUCAAUGACCCAAACCAAGUGGGUGGUGUAGGUGCCAUUCGUUUGCCUCUGGCUGAAGGAAACACAAUUUUUCACAUCACAAGCACAAUACUUCAGCUCCUACAAUUGAAAGGAUUGUUUAGGGAGCUGGCUCAUGAGGAUCCCAUGAGCAUAUCAUAAAUUUUGUUGAUGUCUGUGAACCGUUCUCAUUUAAGAACAUAUUGCAAGAAUCGGUCUGUUUGAGGUUGUUCCCAUUUUCUCUUAUGGGCGAGGUAAGCAAGUGGUUUGCGGAGUUGCUAAGAGAUUCUAUCACUUCAUGGGACGAGCUUACUACUGCAUUCCAAGUGCGAUUCUUUCCCCCUUCGAAGAUGAUGACUCUUAGGGACAACAUCCAAGGAUUCAAAUGUUUGGAAGGAGAGCCCAUACAUGAGACGUGACUGAGAUUUAAGAAGUUGGUGCUUCAGUUCCCAACUCAUGGACUUCCAGAUAAUGUGUUGCUGCAAUAUUUCUAUAGAAGUCUCGAUUCAGUAAACAAAUGAGUGGUUGAUCAACUUUCUCCGAGUGGUAUAAUACAACAACACUAUGCAAUAGCGUCCCAAAUCCUUGAUUGCAUGACCAAGAUUAACAGGACAUGGUACACUCGAGAAGACCAAGUCUUUCCUGUUACUUAUAAAAUGACAAAAUAGCAGAUAAAAAAGGAUCAAAAGAGAAACCAAAACAUGGCAAAAAUGAUGACCCAACUGUAUAUCUUGGCUAAAAAUGUCAUGGGUGUUGGUGCAAAGAGUGUAAAUGUUGUGGGUGUUGGUGGUGUGAACCCCGAUGAAGCAAGGUUUGAAGCGCUGUACAAUGAGGAAGUAAACUUUCUAGCCAAUCAAUGAGGAGAUUAUCGUGCUAACUACCCAAGACCGGGUGGUAAUCAAUGAUGGAAUAGAGAUGAGGGCUGGAGAGACCGUGACAGAGAAUGGCAUGAUUGUAAUGCCACUUGGAAAGAAAGAGGGGGAGAAGGAUAUGUAUGUUCCUCUCCAUGAGCGUCAAAAGCCCAAGGACUCUGAAGGUGUCCGAACAAAAAAUAUGCUUUCACGCAUUCUUACCAAAGUUAAAGGGUCCGACAAAGUGUUGAAGGAGAUGAAAGAGGAUGUCUUGACUCUCAAUCAGACGGUGACCUCUCACUCAAUCUCAAUUAACCAGCUGGAGACCUAAAUGGGUCAAAUUUCGUCACAUUUGAAUCCAAGACAACAAGGGGGGUUGCCUAGUGAUACAAUGGCAAACCCUAAAAAUGAAGCUUGAAUGAGUACUUAUGUCUUGCCACGACAUUAACUAAGACGCUUCUUGAGAGGCAACCUAUGGGUGUUGAUUAUGCAGGUUAAAAAGUGAAGAGUGUUUGAAAAUAGGUGGUUUGGCGAGCCAUGAAUCUAGUCGGGUACUGGCCGAAGAGGUCGUCGAGCCCGACUUGGACCGCUGUUGGACUUACAAAACAUGAAGUAGAAGUCUGUAAAACUCAGUGGGCUAAUUGCUGAAUCGCCGACUCGCUGAACAUGUCUGUGAGCCUGAUUUUGUCCACCGUUUGGACCCCUAAAUUGACUGGAGGUCCUGUAAAACUCAGUGAGGUAAGUCACCACUCGACGCAUCGCUGAGUGGUUUAGCAUGGUCAACUAAUACCGCUGAAAGUGCGGCGAACUGAAAGGUUUUAAAAGGCCAAACGAUUGAAAAUUUCAAAAUCUUUCAUAUUCUCUCAUUUCUAACCACGUAAACUCUCACCCGCACUUUAAAUUUUUCGUACUUUGCAAUUUUUAUUCAUUUUUUAUUCUUGAUCUCGUGCUCGGAUUUGGAUUACUUGCCGCCUAGUGUAUCAAAUUCUCAAUUUGGCAUUCAAGUUGGUUUUUCAAACCCCGCACCUUCGAUUAAUGGUUGAUCUUGAAUGCUUUCGAUAAAUAUGUGUUGUUUUGUGUUGGGUAAUUGUUGAAAUCAUGUUUUAUAUGUUGGAUUGCCUAUUUUGUGUUUCGAACUUAUGCCUAAAUGCUUAAAAUGAUGAAUCCCCAUGUUUAAUGCUCUAAAAUUGAUUCUAAAUUGUUAGGUUGCGGUUAAUUUGUAUUGGGUUUAGUGGGGUGAAGUAUGAGUAACCCCGAAUUGAGCCAAAUGACGUAAUUUGCCUAAUGAUGGAGUGUUUGACAUCAUUCUUAAGGGAAAAAGUCGCCAAAUGGCCAAUUUUGGCCAAAUCUGGGGAAGUCUCAGUACCCCGAAGGCAUGGGUCCUAUGGGUCUGGUUUGAAUUGAGUGUUGCUUGUGUUUGAUUUUGAUUUUGGGGGAUGUGGGCUUGAUUUUGGGAAACAGAGUUAAAAAUUGGCACGUUGGGCAGUUUGACGAGUUGGGUCGAGCUCGUCGAACGGUUCGGCGGUUCGCUUAUGUCCCCUUUCGAUCGCCCUUAAUUUCUUGUUUUGGUUGAAUAAAGUCUGUAACUUUCGGCGGGAAGCCUGAGCUUGCCGAGUUCACUUAGUGAUUCACCGAAAGGUUCAUUUGGUAGCCCUUUCUACGCCCCUAACCCCUAAAACGCAUUGUAAUAUUCGGCGGCCUAGUCUGAGCUCACUGAGUGGUGUUGGUGAUUGCCCGAAGGGCCUUGAACAUCACCGACAUGCCUGAUUUCUGGAAAUUUUUCAAGCUGGUCCUUUCAGUGAGUCUGUCUGGCUCGCCUAAGUGACUGCGAUUUGCCGACUGGUUUGGCGAGUCUUUCUACAACUUAAUUUCUGCAACUCUCUUGAAUGACUUGUAACAAUUUUUGAUGUGUUUUGCAGAUAUGGCUAGGACAAAUUGGGAUGAAAGUGGCAUGUGCCCCGCAAACGAGCCCGGGGAAUUUUAAUAAAUGAGGGAGCUACUGUUUCCACCAAAAAGGGUAAGAAAGCACCUUCGAAGGGAGGCAAAGGCAAAGGCAAAACGCCCAUAGCUGAGAGACCGGAGCACAACUCCGACAGUGAUGGGGAAUCUUUUGAUUCUCAGACCUCAUUCUCCGAGCUUGAGGAUGACCAAUUAAUACAGACCUGAUGAGCGAAUAUUCGUGCAAAGGCUCAUCAAGAUCCGCCUAAAAUUUCAGAGUCUACCCCCUUACUGGAGAUAUAGUGUCAGCUCCGGCACAGACAGUGGUUAUAACGCCACCAGUUCAGGGUCUUCCUCUCCAGUUACUCAACAGGUUAAAAGCUAAAGGAUUGAGGACCAUCCUGGAAGAGAAGAGGUUGUCCACGGAUGGUGUAGUGGAUAGGCACCCUAAUGUGUGGGACACUCUCCGGUACCAUAGGUUUGAGAUCUUCACCAGGCCCCGUGGCCCAUGCAUUCCUACAUGGGUCCGGGAGUUUUGUACGACUAAUAGUGAUUUGGUACCCAAGGGAAAGAAGAAGGCAAGUGCCUUCAGACUAGUGGAGUCUGUGGUGGUCCGGGGGAGGACUGUGAGAUGCAACAACGACUAUAUCAAUGUUGUAUUUGAUAGAGUUUCAGAUUUUGACUACCCGAGUUUGGCUACCGCGAAAACUCUGAAUAACCUAAAUGGAUGUCUAGAUCCCCUUAUUUUUGACACCACCCCGAGGUGGAUUGACGCUGGAGUCCCUAUUGAGAAGAAAGACUUGAACAUAGCAGCUCGAUACUGGUUUAGGUUCAUCAGUAGCUCCAUCAUGCCAUCACAGAAUGAGUCUAUUCUCAGCCACCUAAAUACGGCAUGUCUCGGAUCAAUCGUAGCCAGGAGGAGUAUUAACUUGGGGUUAAUUAUAGAGCAGGAGAUGGCCAUGGCCAUGAGGGCCAGAUAUCCCUUCCAUUCCCAGUGUUUUUUACAGAGUUGUGUCGGCGGGCUGGAGUUCCUCUUAACGAGAGGAGGGAUGUUAAUGUUAUACCCACAUCCUCCAUCGACAUUCGGUGCAUAGAGGUCGAGUACACACGGGAUGAGGUGGAUAGGAGGAGAGCAACUCCGGUGGACACAUCUUCGGAGAUUGAUGUUGACUCUAUACCUGCAAAUGCAGUUUUGCCUACUUCGGCCUCUGGGCCUUCAGGUACAUCUACUUCAACUCCUUCCCAGGCCUCAAGUUCUUCUACUUCCUCCCAACCUCCUAGAGCUACUUCAGGUACCACUGCCUCGAAAACUCCGAUCACUCAGGCCAUGCUCCUUAAGAUAGGGCACCUAGCCCAUUUUGCCGAUGUGCAGGCUUCCCGGCUAGAGGCCGAAGUGCCCUGGAUGAUUGAGAGAGCCAUUGCGGCUGCUUUGACACCCCUCCGGACAUCCAUUGAUGCUCUCACGGUGAGAGUAGAGAUUUGUGAGAGAGGACAUGGGGUUACUACUGAGGUUACGGCUUUGAAAGCCGAGGUUUCCGAGUUGAGGAAAGAUGUGGACCAUCUGAAGUCCUUAGACUUCACUUCACUGUUUGAGUUAACAGAGGUUCCUGAUGUUUCGGCUGCAUAUGUCCCGGCCAUUUCAGAGAUGCCUCCGGCUACCACCGAAGAUGAGACUAUGGAGGAUGUGGCUGAUGUUGAGUCAGAGGCAGAGACAGAUGAGGAGCAUCUCGAUGUUCAGGAGGUGACCAUUUAUGGGGACCUGCCUGAUUUAGAGGAGACGAUAGUACAUUCAGUCAUUCAGAUAUCAUUGACAGAUACCUCCAAGGCAGGCUCCAGUGAAGCUAGUGUUGAUAUUGCAUUGGGCACUGAUGCCCAAUCCCAGAGUGUUACCUCGGGCAUUGAUGCCUCGACAGAUGGAGCGACUGAGUAGACAUGAUCAUUCUUUUUACCUUUCUCUCUGUUGUUUUUGUUGGUUACAUUUGAGGACAACUGCUUUUCUUUUGUGGGUAAGGUGAGGUAUUUCCAUACCUACCUCUUGUGAUACAUUUUUGUUUGUAUAUAUUGGGCUUUAUGAUCUAUAUUUGUGUUUUGAUUGUGUUUGAAUCUGAAUCUUGUGGAUGUUUGAGCUUGUGGCUCUUUGUUUUGAAUGGAAAUGGUUUUGACCCUAUUUUUAAAAUUUGUGCCACCUUUAUUGUUGUGAUUGUGGCUGUUCUUAUGCAAAUUUGAGUUUCGGUUAUGAUCAAUACCGAUGACUAGAAUAAUGCUCUUAAUCGAACGAAAUGAAUGUGCGGCUACGAUGAGGCCAAUGAAGUUGCAUAGACAAUGUGUGAACUUUUAGCAUGUCGUUGUGACUACCCGGUUAUCGAAUGAGUCUUUUGUGAUGAACAUUGCACACUAGCUAGAAAGUCUGAAGUCUUGUUUGAUAUUGGUGUCAAUGUCUUGUGUGAUGAGAUUGUAACAGCCUGUAUUAUGCAUAUGCUUAUUCUAUUCUUGUGAUACUUGACAUAGCCUUAUAGUAUAGGUGAGGGACCAUGUUUCGUAUAUGAUUAGCGUUGGUUUAAACUAGCUCGGAAGGUGAUGUGAUGCCUUGCACGUUGCAGCAUGUGUACUACAAGUUAUAACUCCCUUAUAAAUCACCUGCUUCGGGCUAGUUGUUCGAGAGAAAUCUAUCUCCCUUAUAGUCUAGCCUACUCACUAAUUUUUAGUUGUUUACUAGUAGUUUCAAUUACCCAUAUAUCGUAAUUUUCCUAUAAUCGAUCGCAUCCCGAGAAUCCCUCUCCUUAUUGUUAUUUCAAAGUUUUCGUGACUACUGUGUAGUUGAUAGUUGCAAACUCAAAACCACUCAAAACCCUCCAUCUAACACUCGUGUCUCCCCUUUAAUUUGAUUAAUGUCUUUUUCAAUAAUUUCUAUUCCUAUGACUGAUUAGACCACAUUCGUACUUCUUUAUUGAAUUUGAAAUACGUACUGCUCCUUGUGGGAUUCGACCCCAACUCAAUUGUUGGGUUUUAUACUGAUUUACGAUCGUUGACACCUAGAGUUGGAUGAGGUGUGCUUGAAACGUUAAAUCAAGAAUUCUUGUUGGUAAAGGAUAACUUUAAUUAUUAUUAUUAUCAUUAUUUAUUUAUUUUAAAUGACUAUUAACUUCUUUAUAUUCGACAAAGUCAUUCUAAUUUAUAUCUCGUAGAAAUUAGGCUAUAUCUUUUACUUCCCUUUCUUCACCAUAUAUGUUCGACUCUUAUGAACAAAAAAAACUUAUUGUUUCUUCUCUACGUUCAAACAACCAAUUUAUAACAAUAAAUUUGAUUCUCCAAUUUUUUUUGAAGGAGUGUUAGAUCUACUAUUAGAUACUAAAACUUUCAAAUAGCAAACAAGUGAGUUCAAGCUGUGAACAAUUAUAUUAUUUAAAUAUAAAACAAUUAACCUUGGCUUUGAUAUCAUUGUAAGAUUAUCGUAACAGGAACGAGAAUGUGUAUCUGUUAACAACAACAUAAUGAUAAUGAAGUCUUGUGAAAGGUUGCUCCAAGGUCCAACUUUGAGUCACAAGGAAUCAAAGCUAUGUUUCCACAAACUAAAUUUCACUUUUGUUUUGUUAAUAUCACUGAAGAAGAUAUAAAUUUCUUUUUUGUUUCUCCCUUUGUUUGUCUGUUUUUGUGUUCCUCACUCUCAUUUUCUGAAAAGCAUUCAACACCCAUUUAAAAAGGGAAAAUCAGUAUACGUUGGAUUACAAAGUAACUGUUCCCACCCCUUUUUCAAAUUGGUACUUAUCUCUUUUUUCGAAAAAAAACUUUGGGUCAGGUCAUAUUGGGUCGGGUCGAUCCACAUGGACGACCCACAAUCCAAAACUUACAACAUUUAUGUGUUGUGAUUAACAAUAUUUAGUUUUAAGAAUAAAUAAUUUUCAGGGUAAAAUGAGAAAAUUUUAAUUAAUUCUAUUUUGAUUUUAUAUGUAAAUUUACAAGUAUUUUUAGUAACAUUGACAAGUAAUAUAUGAGACAUAAGAAGUAUUAGCAUUUAAAAUUAAAGUUGGAAAAAAUGUAUUUAAAAAUUAAAAUUACAUGUAGACAUAAAUAUCAUUUGAAAAAAGAAGAAGAAACAAAACGCUAAAGUUUCGUGAGUAGGAACAAAUCUUCAGUUGAAAAUUUGAUUGAAAUUGAAAACAUCUUCUUAAUAACUACACCAAAAAAUCACUUUAAGACAUAACAAAAUAUUUUUUUUGAAAGUAGUUUUUUCGAUAAAAAAGAAGGAAUAAUUAUGCCCUGUUUUGAAAUAACUAGCUAACGAACUAAUAUUAAUAAACUAAAUUGAAAAGAAGAACACACAAAGAGAGAGGGCAAUCUAUUACAAUCUCUAUAUAUCUUGAUUUGUGAAUCUUAAUGGCUAUUUAUAGCCAAUAAGUAAUAUACAAACCAACACUUGGCCAAUAAGAAGUUAUCCAUUUGGCCAAGUGAUGACACUUCUCAAAUGGGUGGCCCCACAUGACAUCCAUUUAGCAUGACAAGUGAUGACAAUUAAAUGGGUGGCCUCACAUGGCAUCCACCUUAGUUUUGCAACACUUUCCCUUGGAUGUCCAUGUAAAAGAAAAGUUGAAGGAACAAAAAUAUACGUAGACAUUUAUAAUACGCAUUACUUGCUGUCUCAUUAAAAAUCUUUCUAGAAAAACCAAGUGGGACAAAACCUAGACUAAGGAAAAAAGAGUGCAGCGCGUAUUUUACUCCCCCUAAUAAAGACCACGAUUUAGAUGCUAAAGUUUUCGCAUUCCAAUCUUGUGUACCAUGCAUCUUCUCAAGAGUUGAGGCUGGUAAAGAUUUGGUGAAUAAAUCUGCCGGAUUAUCACUUGAAUGAAUUUGUUGUAUAUCAAUAUCACCAUUCUUCUGAAGAUCAUGUGUGAAAAAUAAUUUUGGUGAAAUGUGUUUCGUUCUAUCUCUUUUUUAUAAAGCUUCUUCUUAGUUGAGCUAUGCAUGCAACAUUGUCUUCAAAGAGCACUAUGGAUACCUUGACAUCACACUUCAAACCACAUUUUUCUUUGAUGAAAUGUAUCACUUAUCUCAACCAUACACAUUCUCUACUUGCUUUGUGAAUAACUAUUAUCUCAGCAUGAUUUGAAGAAGUAGCGACAAUGGACUGCUUCGUAGAUUGCCAUGAUAUAGAAGUACCUUCGUAUGUAAACAAAUAGCCUAUUUGAGAUCGAGCUUUAUGUGGGUCAGAUAAUAACCUGCAUCUGCACGACCAACAAGAUAUGUACUAUCUUUAUUAGUAUAAAAUAGAUCUGUAUCACUAGUCCACUUUAGAUAUCGCAAUAUAUGUUUAAUUCCAUUCAAAUGUCUUCGUGUAGGGAAAGACCUAUAUGUUGCUAACAAAUUAACAUAAAAUUCUAUGCUAGAUCUCGUAGCAUUAGCAAGAUACCUAAGUGCACCAAUUGCACUAAGAUAAGGUACUUCAGGACCAAGAGGUUCCUCAUUCUCUACUUGAGGUUGGAAUAAUCUUUACUCACUUCAAUUGAUCGAGCAACCAUGGGAGUACUGAAUGGAUGUGAUUUGUCCAUGUAAAAUUGUUUCAAAAUUUUCUCAGUAUAUGCAGAUUGAUGGAUGAAGAACCCGUCUACUAAAUGUUCAAUUUGUACACCAAGACAAAGUUUUGUCUUUCCAAGGUCUUUCAUCUCAAAUUAUUUUAAAUAUUCAAUUGCCUUUUGAACCUCUUCAAGGGUUCCAUUGAGAUUUAUAUCAUUAACAUAAACGACAAGAAUAACAAAUCCUGAUAUUGUUUUCUUAAUAAAAAUUCAAGGAAAUAUUGCAUCAUUUAUAUAAUUACUUUUAUCAAGUACUCACUGAGGAGAUUAUACCACAUGCGCCCUGAUUGUUUUAAGCCGUAUAAUGACUUUUGUAAUAUGAUUGAUCACAUUUCCCGAGAUUUUGAACUAUAUGCUUCAGGCAUUUUAAGUCCUUCCAGAAUUUUCAUAUAAAUUUCAUUAUCAAGUGAACCGUAAAGAUAAGCUGUAACCACAUCCAUUAGAUGUAUUUCAAGAUUUUCAUGUGCAGCUAAACUGAUGAGAUAUCAAAAAGUCAUUGCAUCCUUAACUGGUAAAUAUGUUUCUUCAUAGUCGAUAUCGGGUCUUUGAGAGAGUCCUUGUGCAACAAAGCAUGCUAAGUAUCUUACAAUUUCAUUUCUCUUAUUUCUUUUUUGUACAAAGACCCAUUUAUAGCCAACUGAUUUAACAUCAUUAGGUGUUUGGAAUACUGGUCCAACAACCUCAUGUUUAGCAAGUGAAUUCAAAUUUGAUUGAAUUGCCUCUUGCCAUUUUGCCAAUCACAUCUUCGGCGACGUUCUUCGACAGACAGAGGUUCAAGAUCUUCACAGUCUUGCAUAAUAUUAAGUGCAACGUUAUAAGCAAAAACAUUAUCCACCAUAAUUUUUGAUCGAUUCAACUUUAUCCCAUUAUCCGAAGAACUUAUUGAUAGUUCUUCAUUCACUUGAGUCUCGGCGUCAUUGAUUUCUUCAAAAAUAUCAUGACUAAUCAGAUCUUGAAUCUCUUCGUGGGAUUCUUUUAUACUGUCAUUUUUUGUACUUCUUUUUCUAGGAUUUUUAUCCUUUGAACCCAAUGGUCUGCCACGCUUCAAGCAUGUAUGAGAUUUAGAAGAUAUGACACUAUUAGAUGGUCCUGUUGGAAUAUGAUAUGCGACUUAGUUAUCCUUUUCAAAUCAGUAAAUGCAUCUGGCAUUUGAUUUGUUAUAUUCUGCAAAUGGAUGAUCUUUUGGAUCUCCUGUUCACACAUUGGGGAACAUGGAUCAAAAUGAGAUAAUGAUGAAACUUUUUAUGCAAUUUCACUUUUAAGUUCCUUUUUCUCUCCCCCUAAUUCUGGAAACUUUGUUUCAUCAAAUCGACAAUCUACAAAUCUUGUAGUGAAUAAAUCUCCCAUUAUUGGCUCAAGGUAGCAAAUUUUGGAGGGUGAAUCAAACCCAAAAUAUAUUCCUAAACUUCUUUGGAGGCUCAUCUUAGUGCGUUGAGGUGGUGCUACUGACAUAUACAACAUAUUCAAAAAUUCGUAGAUGAGCAAUAUUUUGUUCAUGACCAAACACCAAUUGUGAUGGAGAGUAUUUAUUUAAUGAGUUAGUUUCUGAGAUUGGUAUGCUCUAAAUUAGUAAAAGAAACCCUCGGGUCUUGUUUUGUCUUUACUGACGCCAAGCUACCUCGCCUUUUGUUGGUGAAGUGAAUGAAAUCGUUAGAUUCCCGUUUGGGAUCAAAGACGAACAAGUGAUGUUGCAUGUAAGAUAGCAUGACCUCAAAUGGUAGUGGACAACUUAGUUUUCAUAAGUUGUGGUCUUGCUAAUCAAUUGUUGGCGCUUAAUAAAUGACUCUGCAAGGCUAUUUUGAGUAUGAACAUGAUGUUCAAUUCUUAUCCCAAUUGAUAAGCAAUAAUAAUCAAAAGCUUGGGGUGCAAAUUCUUUAGCAUUAUCAAGGCGAAUGGCCUUAAUAGGAUAAUCUGAAAAUUGCACCUGUAGUUUUAUUAUUUGUGCCAAUAACUUUGUAAAUGCCAGGUUACGAGAUGAUAAAAGGCACACAUGAGACCAUCUUGAAGAUGCAUCUAUUAGGAUCAUAAAAGGGUAAAUCACUUAGAUAUGCUAUAUUGAGAAAAUAUUUACCAUUUAUGACUAAUAAUUUCUUUUAACUAAAUCUAUCAGUUCAUGGAAUUAAAAUUGUACAACUUCGGACCUAUGUUCUUUCCUAUUUAUUCGUCUCUUUCUCUACAUAUGAUUUCUCCUUUUUUUUCUUCUUCUUCUUCUUCAAAUUUUUAAUUCAAAUAACUAUCUUUAAAUAUUCAUCUCUUCAAAUCGAUUUAUACCCAUGUUGCACGAUUUACAUCGAAAAUAUCACGAGGAGAAGAAUACAAAGAACCAAAAAUUGUACAAAAUCGUGUGUGCAAAUUGGGAUUUUAAAUCUCUAAAAUUGCAGCAGCAAGCNNNNNNNNNNNNNNNNNNNNNNNNNNNNNNNNNNNNNNNNNNNNNNNNNNNNNNNNNNNNNNNNNNNNUCUUGCAACUGUAUUAAAGUUGAAUUAGAUCUAUUUCAUAAUUGUAUUAAAAUUGAAUUAAAAUCAUGAACAAUAUAUUUAUAAUACAUAUUUCAAAUAUAUCAUCUUCUUAUAUAAUUCAAAAUAAUUUAUAAGAUACAUAUAAUACAUGUUUUAUUCACGAAUAAUGAUAUAUGUUCAAUUCAGUUUAUAGAUCAUUGUCUUGUCUUUCGUUAGUUACGUUUUCCAUUCAUUCUUAAUUCUCUCUUCUUAUUCAACUUUAAUACUGUGUAAUACAAUUUUAAUGCAAAUUUAAUUCAUUUUGCAGUUUUUUGAUUUAUUUGUUACUAUUGGAUACUUGUUUAAUUCAUUAUUGAUACAAGUUUAAUUAACUCUAGAGAUCAUUGUCUUGUCUUUUGUUAGUUACGUUUUCCAUUCAUUCUUAAUUCUCUCUUCUUAUUCAACUUUAAUACUAUGUAAUACAAUUUUAAUGCAAAUUUAAUUCAUUUCACAGUUUAUUUAUUUGUUUGGUACUAUUUGAUACUUCUUUAAUUCUUUAUUGAUACAAGUUUAAUUAACUCUAGAGAUCAUUGUCUUGUCUUUUGUUAGUUACGUUUUCCAUUCAUUCUUAAUUCUCUCUUCUUAUUCAACUUUAAUACUGUGUAAUACAAUUUUAAUGCAAAUUUAAUUCAUUUUGCAGUUUUUUGAUUUAUUUGUUACUAUUGGAUACUUGUUUAAUUCAUUAUUGAUACAAGUUUAAUUUACUAAAUAGGUCAAUGUCUGGUCUUUCAUUAGUUACAUGUUUUUAUUCAUGCUUAAUUCUCUCUUCUAACUCAACUUUAAUAUUUGUGUAAUACACUUUUAAAAACAAGUUUAAUUCAUUUUGCAAUUAAUUGGUUGAUUUGUUACGAUUGGAUUACUUGUUUAAUUCAUUAUUGAUACAAGUUUUUUCAAUUUAUAUGCAGAUCAAAGAAUGCUCUUUUGUUUGCUACAUUUUGCAUUCAUGUUUGAUUCUCUUAUAAUAAUUCAACUUUAAUAUGUUUGUAAUACAUUUUUAAUUCAAGUUUAAUUCAUUUUGCAGUUUCUUAUGUCUCUUUAUUUGUUACGAUUAAAUUACUUGUCUAAUUAAUUAUUGAUACAAGUUUUAUUCAGUCUAAAAUCAUUUACUACUCUCCAAAAAAAAAAGGAAAAAGAGCAAUAGUAAGAAAGGGAUAAAGUGCAACAAAAAAGAAAGGAAGGGAGAAUGAAUAACAGAAAGAAAAAAAAGAAAGAAAGAAAGGAAGGAAGGGAGAAAGAGCGAGACAGAGAAAAGAGAGAAAUUAAAGAAGUUGUUAUAAAUGGUAAUAAAUAAAGAGUAUGUUUAAAAUAAGUAAUUAUUUUUUAAAAGGAAUCCACUCAAGUAAUUAAUCCAU
RNAcentral lists this long non-coding RNA (48527 nucleotides) under Solanum tuberosum (potato). RNAcentral describes it as "long non-coding RNA (STUB_LNC008805)". Lineage: Eukaryota; Viridiplantae; Streptophyta; Magnoliopsida; Solanales; Solanaceae. The record is from RNAcentral.